UUCUGGCCUGCCGGUGUGGCCGCCGGCGCCAUGAUGAAGGCCCCAGGCGCCGCCGGAUUCCUCAUCUCACGCGCGGCCUUCCUGGCCAACCCGCAGCUCUACUUCCAUCUCCUGCGCACCGCCGGACCCAAGGCAGCGGCCGCCGCCUUCCUUUAGUAGGGAAGCGCAGCACAUGCAUGCAUGCAUGCAUGUCCCUUCCGUCGAUCUACUGAAGUCAGUGCUGUCUCUGUCUACUAGAAAUGUUCGGUGUGUGUUGAUCUAUCUUAUAUUACUAGUGUACUACUCCAGAUCUGUUGAUCUGCCGCUAGCUAGUUCCUUCUGUCGAUCCUACCGAAGUUCCAUGUAAUGCCCAAGAAGAUGCUGUGUGUGUCAAGUUAUCUUAGUGUGCUCUGUUGAUUUGCAUGUCUCUUAAUUAUGAUCUGUGAUCUAGUAUAUCCUACAACGUCAGGUUGAAGAUGGAUCUAGCAUUUGUGUGCAGCACAUUUGAGGCUGAGCAUCCAGUGUUUUUUCCGGUUCUUUCUUGUGUGACAUUGCGCUGUAAGCAUUAAUUUGCCCGUUUUUCUGUCUGGGUUCUUAGGAGUGUGUGGGCCAGAUGAUCUGUCUCCUUUACGAAAAAGAAACAACUCGUCUUGAUUUCUCGCCUCCAUCUUCUUUUGUUCCUCUCUUUACUGCAGGACAUGUCGUGCUCAUCAGCUUCUCCUCCCUGGAGUAGUGGUUCUAGUUUGUUAACAAUCUCUUCAUAGUUUUGGACAGAUGAGAAAGCAAGGAUUAAUUUCUUUUCUUUAUUAACAGAUCUUUGUAAUGGUUGACAGUUGACACUCGGUUAGCAUGCAAACGUUUCCGAAACUCGGUUAGAAUGUUUGCAUCACAAUAUUGCCGAUGUUUCUUCUCUGAAAAGGAGCGAUGAAGAAAGAUGAAAAGGAUGAAUACACCGUAGUCACUGGCUACUAGCACCAUGCCACUUGCCUGUUUUGGUGACAUUAAAAUAUGUUUCUUAAUUCUAAAAUCAGUGCUUCUUUUCUGAAUGUAGACUUGAGGAUUGUAGCCGUAUAUUUUUCCUGCUCAGUCAUGCACUCAGUUUCCAACAAAGGAUUUGAUCCUGUGUAUUAUUGCUCUAAUUGUUAACUUCGAAAAAUGUAUCAGAUCCAUUGAGCCUCAACCACAAACAAAACAUGAACAAGACCGAAAGGCCAUAGAUGUUUAGUGCAUCAGCAUUGACUAGAUUGCUGAUGCUAGUGCAAGUGUGAGACUGUUAGAACUAUGCCCUGGAGGCAAUAAUAAAAGUUGAUAUUGUUUUAUGGGACAUUUACAUUUGUGCCCAUAACUGGAACCAACUACUCAUAUUUGCCCCUAAUUUCGAAGCAUACCCAAAUCUAUCCCUCUGUCGUUAGUUGCCCUUAUAGAACUGCCCUUUUGCGUCGUUACCGUCCGAUCAAAGGGCUUUGACCAUCUCGAUAAAAUUAGCAGAAAAAUCUGAAAUUUUGUGGGAUCAAAGAUAGUUAGGUGCUUGUCAAUUUUCUUGAUGUUUAGACAUACCAGGAGCAUGUGGCAAUGGAAAACAAUAAAUCUGUACGACUGUGAAUAGUAAAUUCAAAGAAAAUAGCAAGAAAAUUCAAAAAGUACGAAAUUUUUUGGCAUCCAAGAUGCUCGGAUGCGCAAGGUGUGUGCAAUUUUUUUUAUCAAAUGACAUGCAAGGAGCUCUAGCAAAAAAACAAAAUAGUGUAUUUGUUCAAAGUUUUUUCCGAGCCAGAUUUUGUUUUUUUCGCGCGCUCCUACAAUGUCCAAGCACAACAAAAUUUUGCACACACCUUGUGCACCCGAGCAUCUUGGAUGCCAAAAAAAUUCAUACUUUUUUGAAUUUUCUUGCUACCUUUUGAAUUUACUGUUCACAGGCGUACUGAUUUACUGUUUUUCCUUCGCCAUGAGCUCCUAGAGUGUCCAAACAACAUGAAAAUUUGCACGCACCUUGCGCACUUGAGUACCUUCAAUCCCACAAAAUUUCAGAUUUUUUUGCUAUUUUUUCGAGACGGUCAAAGCCCUUUGCCCGGACAUUAAGGGCGCGGAAGGGCAUUUCUAUGAGGGCAACUAAUGGCAGAGGGACAAAUUUGGGCAUGCUUCGAAAUUAGGGGCAAAUCUGACUAGUGGAUUCCAGUUAGGGGCAAAAAUGUAAAUGUCCCUUGUUUUAUUUGCAUGUUCGUAAUUAAGUUUAUAUUUCAAUGCUAGAAUUGCAUUGGUUUUUGAAAGUGAGAUUUAGAGGAAAACCAAAUUUCAUGUUUAGAGAUAUAAACGCGAAACAGAGUUAGACCUCUGGACUUGCUCAUGUAUUGUUGAUGGUUCUGCUUUCAUGGCCAUGUGCAUAGUUAACGUAACGAGGAUGAAAAAAAUGAUCAGAGCAUGUUGUUAGGGUAAUAAUGAUGUUGGAUAGAUCCAUCGUAUUGUAUAACGCGAGUUCGUGUUGUCAAUAUGUUGUAUGUUACUCUAUAACUGGGUAAUUAUAAAGUUAACUUUUGGUAACGCAAGGAAGUAUGUCGUGGUACUAGAUAUGUGAAGACUUAAACUUGCCCCUCCGGCGAUCGAUAUAUACACUCUCAGACCACAUGGUAUUACACUGUCUGGCAUCUCUUGACCAUGUAUUGUGACUAAGGAAUUAGUCAUGUGCAUCCCGAAAUACGAUUACAAGGAAAGAGUACAAACCUGUAAUGAGGAUAACUACGUAUAGUGAUCAAGUAGUUGUCACAACGAUACAAUCAAAGUCUCCCCUCAUGUUUGGUAACGUAUGGAGAGGGAAAGGCAAUUGCAUGCGAUAAAAAAAGUUUUUUUUAUAAAGAUCUACAAUGUUAUGUGGGGAUUAUUGUGCGUGUCCAGAUCUCACUAAUAAUUAUUGACUAGAAGGUGUUACAAACUUGUCCAUGUAGUCUUGAACCUAUAGGGUCACACGCUUAAUGAUUAGCAACAUAUAGGAGUAAUAUGUGAUAAUCAAGAACAAGAUAGAAGGGGUCCAAAAGUAUUUUGAUAAUAUCAAAAUUGUUCCCGGAGGUCCCGAGAGCGUCCCAGUGAUAUCAUGUAGUGUCUCAGAAUGUUCUGUAAGGUGGCGAAAGCUCCAAUAUGUUCCAAAAACCUUUUGAAAAUUCUGGAAGGAUCCUAAUGCCACCUACCCCCUGCCUUGGGGGCAAGGCGGCCCAUAGGGCCCAAGUCGGCCAACCCCCCUAUUUCUUGGGGGGGCAAACCAACAAAAGGGGUGUGCUCCUACAAGGACUCCACCUCCAUAGGUCGGAUGAAACCCUCACCCCUCCACCUAUAUAUAGGUGUGGGCGCAUCAAGAGAAGUUUGGUACACGCACUCACCCCUAUGGACACAUGUACGAACACCCUACACAUAUAAGCAGCUUCAAGAUAUUGAGGGAAUAACAUCUUGAGAUUAAUGCGAGCAUUAGUGUCAAGAACAUCACUUGAACCCUUGUGGGCUGACUUCACCACCAGGAACCUAACCAUCUAAGCUAUGUCCAUUAUUACCUAUAGUAUUGUCACAAAUAAGACAUCACUGAUGAAGUACCACAACAUGAACCUGAUGCGGCGAUACAUUGCUGUGCAAUCCACAAACUCUUGUCGUUUCAGUCCUGUCACACUGUCCUGAUUGUUCCACAAACCAACACAAAUCAGAGAAUAAACUCUGGAAAUCAGAAACACGAGUGCCAUAACCAAAAAAAAAUCACCCGAGCAAUAUUUAGCAAAUCCCUUCGGUACCAUUAUUUAGAUUGGAGCUUUUCAACUCCAUUUUGAGAUUGACCACAUUUAAAUUUGGACUUAUCAGGUGAUUAACUUUGUUUUUUUUUUGCUUGAGAAACACAAUGCAGACAUAGACACUCACAUAUAUGCAUGUACAAUUAUAACCCUAUAAAGACACACACCACUGGCACUUGGGCACAUAGGUGUCAAACAUGUAGUUUGAUCCAUGGUGUGCUAGGGGUACAACCAUCCGCCUAAUCAUCCAACCACAAAAUGAUUCUCGGUAUUGGCAUAAUUAUGGGUGGGUUUGCAAACUGAAAAAAAAAAGCAUGCUCUACCUUUGUCUAAUCAAACAGCUCGCCAGCCAAAUAAAUCUGGAAUGGAGGGAUAACAACGGUCGAUCCUAUCCAUCUUUAUCCAUGAGGUUUCAUCCUGAUGAUGAUAUAGAGCAUGUGGGUAAUCUCAAAAAAAAAUCUAUAGCAUGUGAGAUUUUAUCUUUAAUGUCCUGCUACCAAAGAUUUGCCAUCGUGGAUAAUUUCCUAAUUAGCAUCCUUAUAUUAGCCACCUUUGGAAUCCAAUAAUCUUAUUCUAAAUUUGGGAGCCUGUCUUAAAACUCAUCCUUAUCUUUGAGGAGUCAUCCGGAUGAUAUCAUGAUUUGACCACGAUUUUAUAUGGCACGUUGUUAAUGCUCCAAUUGAAUUCCUUCCAUCUGCGUUAUUCGGGAAACCUGCUGCUCAGGACUACAAAUAGGAGGGAGCGAGCAAGACAUCCAUACCACACUCGUUUCUCGCAUCACAAGGUCGUUGGCCCCGUAGCACAAGCGAGUUCAUCACAAAACCAGCUGCAAAGGCUCGACGGCGAUGGCUUCCAAGAUGGUCGGCGCCCUCUUGCUGGUCCUCCUGCUGGCGCUCAACCAGAGCGACGCCCAGGUGUUGCCGACCCCCUGCUGCAACCUCAAGUGCUGUGGGUACGAUUGCUGCGGGCCCCCGGUCACAGCCACGGCACCCAUUUCGCCAUUCUCCGCCGCCCCCGAAGCAGGACCGGCCGGCCCGGUUUCGCAGCGCGUGCUCCGCAAGGUCUUCCCCGGAAACUAGCGAUGUUCAGAUGCAUGUAGCGAUGCCCCCCGUGACGUAUGAUUCCAUUGCAAGUGUGCUACUGGCACCUAGCUAGUUUCGCUGGUAUUACGUAUUAUUUUUAGCUUGUAUUCCUGAUUUGUUCUGUUCCAUCGAAACAGCAAUAUAGGAGUUUAUAUCCUGCAGUAGCAUUCCAAUUCUACAGCUAUAAUGUGUGUGCAAUGAUAAACCAUGUUCGAAACACAAAUAAUCCACCCAUCCUUCAGAAGAACAGAACGCAUAAUCCUCCAAUUAAAUCUGCCGAACCUGAAUCAGCUAUAGCUGCUCUAGUCUGGAUCAGUCCUUCAUCUCGGCUGCCUUCUCGUCUCCCAGAACAAUAUUGUUUCCUAAAAAGUAGUCAUACAUGUUCCCUUUAGGUGGACAAAAUUCAUAACCGGUUUAGCAACUGCGCCUACUAAAAAUAGCUUAGGAUAGGUUUUUACCCCUUUUUCUUGAAAAAAAUAUAUUUUUGAAUGUGGCCUCAGUGCUCAUACAACCAUAAGGCGUUUGAAUGUGGUCAAUCCCAAGGUUUCCCCAAAAAAGUUUUUGUCGAAGUGUGCAUGCGAGGUUAUAGAUUGUUUUGUCCCUAAUGUGAUUUUGUUGAUGUGUUGAUUUCCAAUCUGGAUCUACAUCGGUACGAAACAAAGGCGAAUUGUGAGCUAUUGAUUAAGGUUGCAUACUAAAUAACACUUAAAAAUGUUUCACAGCUAACCAACAUCAUUUGAAAAUUCUACACAUUUUUCUAAUCAACUUUUCAUAUAUAACAUGUCAAAAUUGAAGUUACGGUUCUUAAGUUAUUGAUACUUUUAAAAAGUAUUUGAAUCUGCCCCCAAAAUAUAAUGUUAUUUUCUAGAUGGACUAAGGGUUUAUUAAAUGAAAUAUCAGGGAGUUUUAUACAAAAAGUAAAACAUUUUCUGGUGUCACUUAAAACAGGAUUGUGGGUUUACCAUUUUCAUUGCAAAAAGCUUUUUCUUUGCGGGAUGAUAGCCAUGCACGUUCCCUUUAGAUGGCCCAAAUUUAUGGCCGGUUUAGGAACUACGCCUACUAAAAAUAGCUUAGGAUGGGUUUUAACCUUUUUUUUCUUGAAAAAAAAUAUGUUUUUGGUUCCUCAAAUUUGCCGAAAUUAUAGAUCUGGUCCGUCAAAAAAUGUAGAAACAAAACAUAUAAUUUAAAAAAGUUAAUCAUAUACUCCCUCCGUCCCAAAAUUGUUACAUCCGUAUCUAGACAAAUCUAAGACAAGAACUUUGGGACGGAGGGAGUAUAUAAGAAAGGUCAAAACUAUAUGUAAAAUGUUUUAGAUGUAUACUAAAAAUGUACAAUAUAUGAAAACAAUAGUUAUCAAAACAUAUAUCUGAAAAAAUGGUAAUCAUUUAUUUGAAAAAAUGUUAAACAUAUAUUAAAAAAUGUUUUACAUAUAACUAAAAUGUUUGAUGUAUAAAAAAUAUAUAAUAUGUACAAAAAUGUAGGCAUGUGUUUAAAAAAUAAAAAUAAUAAGAAAGAAACAAAGAAAACAGAAAAGGAAAACAAGAAAAUCGGAGAAAAAGUGCAAAAAAGAAAAGGGAGACAAGAAAAAAUUUGGGAAAAAAUGGAAAGGAACAAAGCAAAGAAAACGAAGAAACAAAUCAGUGAAAAUCGAGAAAGAAACAAAUAAAAUGGUAAACCGCAAAGUAAAAAAGAACAACAAAGAAAACCGACAAAGAAACAAAUAAAACUGGAGUAAAACAAAGAUAAAAAGUUGAAACAGUGAAAACCGAUGCAAAAGCAGUGAAAAACAACCAAAAACAAAAGCAAAGAAAAACAGUAAGGAAACAACAGAUAAACCGAGAAAACCAGUAAAGAAAACAAGAAACCAAAGCAGGGAAAAAUCGAAACAAAACAACAGCGACCAAACGAAACGCAUGACCGGGAAAACAGCAACGCCCGAAUGAAUGUACUUAGCCGACGCAUACGCGUGGGUGUUGUGGGCGAGGGGAGCUACCAUCUCGCUAUAAGUGAGAUAUAGCUUGUGCGGAAUUUUCUUACUAAACACUAGUAUUCCUCCCGACGCGUUGCGACCCUAUUCGCUGUCCAAUAGGCUUUGUAAAUAAUUAUUCUGGUUAUAAAAGCAUACGGGAAAUAGAGGAUGCUCCUUCAUCUCAAUAAAAGUGCUCAUAUGGCAGGCCCACGUGCCAAAGUGAAUUUUUGAAAUAUUCUUCUUUAUUUGAUUAAGUAGAGGGAAUCUACUGUUAUCACCCUUUGCAUGCAUGAAUUCUCUUGUGGAUAGAGUCGGGCGCACCAUAAGACUAAAAUGGGCACACGCCCCAAACAUUCAUGAUGAAAUUUGAAUGGUAGAAAACCAAAGUACUCCUUCCUUUUUAUUUACUCUGCAUAUUAGGUUUAACUAAAGUCAAACUUAAGUUUGACCAACUUUACAAAAAAAUAUACUUUUACCUUAAUGAAAAUAUAUGAUGUGAAAGUACAUUCAAUAGUGAAUCUAAUGGUAUUAAUCUGUUAUUGUAUAUGUUAAUAUUUUUUGGCCGUUUUUUCCUUACUGCUUUUCUUUGCUCGAAACUUCUAUUGCACACUGGCACUUGAUUUGUUUAUAAACUUUGUCAAAGUUUAUUAGCUUUGGUCCAUAUUAGCUUUUGUUCAACCCAGCUCGAAACUUCACUUGAACACCGGCACUUGCUUAAUUUUGCCUGCUAUGAAGUUAGAUACUGAACUAUGGCAGGAUAUUUGCACAGUUCUGUGGUAUUGAGUCUAUGAGAUUUUGCAGAUGGUGCGAUAUGGCUUCAAUCUGAACGUCCCUCCAUAUCCGUGAGAGUAGGGAAUCUCUAGCUGUGAACACUACCUGAAUCAUACCCUACGCCGCGGCAAAGGGCCUAAAACACUCGGCAAAGUCUUUGCCGAGAAUUGUUCUCGGCAAAGUCUUUGCCGAGAAUUGUUCUCGGCAAAGGCCACUCGAUGUCCCACGUCCAACGCCGAGUGGAUGCUUUGCCGAGAUCUCCUCUCGGCAAAGCUAACGAUUAGCAAACCAGCCACGUGUCCACCACCUGACUGGCGGGUCCCACUACCUAUGCCGAGCAUCAACUUUGAAGAUUAUACAAUUUCCACUUUACCACUAUUUAUAAAAAUGUAGUCAAUGUUAGAAAAGUUUGACUGUGUCAUUCUACAAAGUAUAUUCUUUCACUAUGGCGAAUAUAGGGGGAACUGCAGAAUCCUCAAGCAGGAUUUUCAUGGGAAAACCCCAGCUUUCCUCUGGUUCUGUCAUCCUCUCGAUUCCUGAUUGUGUGGGCAUGAUUCAUAACAAGAGCAUCCUUAUGUACUCCUCAAGGACGGGGAGCGUCUGCCCUUCGCCGUAGCCAAAGAGGACCCUCACCAUCCUCGCGAGGUUUAGCGAGAUCCGGGUCAUGCUGGGCGGGAAUGUCCUCCUGGAGAAGCACUCCCUGUUGAGCUCCCCCCACUCACUCUCGAUCAGCGCCAGCAUAUGCCCCUUCGCGUCGCCACCGGGGUUCUCUUUCAGGUACAACUCCUUGUAUGAUCCGUCCAGGCCAUCUUGCGCUUCGUCCUGCAUGGUGCAAGAAUGGUGAUCAUGUUAUGGUAUCUUAAACCAGUGGGGCUAAGAUUCAUUAGAAAUUCUAGGUUUCUAAUUAAGCAGGGGGGUAAUUUCAGCAGUUGGAAUCUGACCUUGGCACUGCCCAUGUCAUCCCAAAGUCUCAAGAUCUUUGACGGGCAGGAGAUUAUCGGAGGGAUACGGCCGGCCGUGAGGUUUGUAGCAUCCCUUGUUGGAUCAUGUCCUAGCAUGGAAAAGAGAUGCACAAGUGCAAGUGGUCCUCCUGUAGUGAUGACGCCGUUCGAUAGGUAGUCAUCUAGGGAAGGAACAUGAUUAGCAGACAACCAUUUCGCCUCAAGCAAAAAUGCAUCGAAAAGCAUGGCCCACUGCAAAAGAAAAAUGAAUUCACUAUUUUCAGUUGAUUAUUAUUUUCCUUUUUUUAAUAUAUUUAUACAUGAACUUAAAUAUUCUCAAAUAUUAUAUAUUGGAUAGAUACAUAUGUUGCUCGUCCAACAAACAAUUUAGUUGGUUAUCUAGACAAAUCAGGAAAUCUAAAAGAAUAAAGAUAUUCCAAGAGACAUACAUCUUUUUUGAGAUGAUCAAUAGGGUUCAGCCCAUGUUCUCUUUCAGCCAUAUCUGCGAUGUCAUUUGUGAUUGUAUAAAGAGAACUGUAGCAUGAUCUCAUGUAGCUUGGAAGUGAUGCAGCAGCUGCAAGAUCCCACCUGUAAGAAAUGCAUUUUCUAACAUGAAAUUUCGGUUACACAAUACUGACAGUUACUGUUGAUCAUAAACAGCGAGAUGAAUUUAUAGUAGCCAGAAAGGAAAAGCCUACGUUCUGAUUGCCUCGGUGAAGCGAGAAAGCUCCUCUUGUGUUGCAACAACAUCAAAGAUGUCAUCCACAAUACUGACAAUUGCAAUGAUUUUGGUUAUCUCAAUCCGGUAUCUGGAGAAGGAUUGCCCCUGGAGGAUAGUCAUGGGAAACAUGUACCAUUUAAGAAUUUGGUCACGCGUAGCUGGUAUUUCUUGAGCCAAUCCCAGGCCCAUCCACCAUCUGUCACAAUGACAUUUAGAAGUUAAAGAAGAAAUUUGUCAAUACCCCCAAAGAUAGGUAUAAAAUGGAGAAUGUUAUCUAAUGUGAAGAUGGUAAAUCAACUUGGAAGACAGAUUAGGUACUAAUUUUCAACUCAGUGGUCUUUGUGAUGGACCUGAGAAGAAACAAAUGCUCUAGCCACAUUCCUCUUCUGGGAGCUGCAGAUAAAACAUAAAGUUUGCAAGGAAUGAACUUAUAUAUGUACCUCUUAACCUCUUGCAUUUCCAUCUGAUGCUGCAACUUGUUAAGCUUGAAGUCUGCAAGUGCCAGCUCCUCCAUUGCAGUGUUCCGAGUGGGCAAGCUCUGGAGAUAGCUCAGGUGGUGUCUAGCCUUGUACUGCAUCAGGCUCACAUGGUAGGGAUGAUCCAGUGAAUGCCUCACAUAUCUUGCAAGGUUUAGGUCCAAGUGUUUAAUUGCAGAAGUGAGGUGUUUCCUUGAGAAGUCAUUUGCCUUGUAUAGUGAUGCUUCUCCCAUGUUCAAGUGUGAUAUGUCCUGCAAGCUGAGCAACCCUCUGAUGUCUUUGGUAUGAUCAACGUUGAAGUCCUCGUUUUCAUUGACAAACUUUUGAAGAACCUCAUCUACCACAUCAAGGAUAAAGGUUUUUAGGAAUAUAAACUGUGGUUGCAAUAACAGGGCGAAAAUAAAUUUUACUUUCAGACACACAAGGGGUUGAGACAAGGGGAUUCCAUGUCUCCUCUCCAAUUUAAUAUAGUGGCCGAUAUGUUGACCAUUCUUAUAGGCAGGGCCAAGCAAAACGGUCAAGUGGAUGGGCUAGUACCUUGUUUGGUCGAUGGGGGAGUCUCCAUUUUACAAUAUGCUUACAACACUAUCUGUUCAUGAAACAUGACAUUGCAAAAGCGCAAAAUAUGAAACUCAUAUUAUGUCUUCGAACAUUGUCUGGAUUAAAAAUAAAUUUUCACAAGAGCGAGUUGUUCUGCCUUGAAGGCCAAAGAAGAGCAAGACACAUAUAGACAAUUGUUUGGGUGUGAAUUAGUUUCUUUACCUUUCAGCUAUUUGUGCAUACUGAUUCAUCACCGUAAGAUAUCUAAUAAAGAAUGGAAGUGCAUUGAAGAUCGAAUUGAAAAAUAGCUUAGUUGCUGGAAGGGCAAGCUAAUGUCGUAUGGAGGUCGGCUAGUGUUGAUAAACUCAGUACUUACUAGUAUGCCGAUGUUCCUAUUAUCUUUCUUCGAGGUACCAAAAGGGGUGUGGAAGAGACUUGACUUCUUUAGAUCUCGAUUCUUCUGGCAGUCAGAUGAGGCCAAGAAGAAAUACCGUCUCGCACGAUGGGAUAUUCUAUGCCGACCCAAGGACCAGGGGGGUCUCGGUAUUGAAAACCUGGAAGUUAAGAAUAAAUGUCUUAUGAGUAAAUGGCUCUACAGGUUAGAGACAGAGCCGGAGGGUAUGUGGGCAUAGAUAUUACGCAAUAAAUAUCUACAAUCAAAAACGCUAGCCCAGGUCACCGUGAGACCAACUGACUCGCCAUUCUGGAAGGGAUUCGUGUGAACGAAAGAUUUGUUCUUUCGUAGGGUCAAAUUCGUGGUUGGCAAUGAGAUGUCAACAAGAUUUUGGGAGGAUACGUGGUUAGGGGAGACGCCACUAGCCAUACAGUACCCCACCCUAUAUAACAUUGUGCAACGUAAGGAGGAUUACAUAGGCACCAUACUUCAAUCGACUCCCUUGAAUAUUCAGUUCAGACGUGCGUUAGUUAGUGAGCGAUGGACUACCUGGAUGCACUUGGUCCGGAGAUUGAUAGAUGUUCAACUAUCCGACCAACCAGAUUCGAUGCACUGGAAGUUAGCCAGAAAUGGGGUGUUUACGGUGAAAUCUUUUUACAUGGAUCUGACUAAUUCUGGACCAAUCUUGAGAUCGUUACAUAUUUGGAAGGUUAAGGUUCCCUUGCGUAUUAAAAUAUUUAUGUGGUUCAUUCACAAACAAAUGAUCCUAACCAAAGAUAACUUAAUAAAGAGGCGGUGGGUAGGUAGUUCACGUUGUUGUUUUUGUGAUCAUGUUGAAACAAUACAACACUUAUUCAUAGAGUGCCCAUUCGCGAAAUUGCUUUGGAGAACGAUCCAUAUAGCCUUUAACAUCACUCCUCCAGUUGACAUUGAAUUGUUAGUUGGGACGUGGUUAGCUGGGGUGGAGCAUAUUACUGCGAUUGAUAUUCGGAUUGAAAUAUGUGCGCUUCUUUGGGCUAUAUGGAAUUGCAGGAAUGAUAUGAUUUUUAACAGACAACCUAAUCUAACUUUCUUGCAGGUCAUCUUCAGAGCUACUGUAUGGAUCCGUACGUGGUCCUUACUCACUCCUACGGACUUCAGGGAGCCUUUGGUUACUAGGUGCAACCAGUGGGAGAUGGUAGCACGGGCUAUAUUCAACCAGUUCAGAUGGCGGUUGCAUAACAAGAUAGGAGUCUAGGGAGCUUGUCCUUUACAUUGUCAUACCUGUUGUAAUAUUGAACAUUCGCUUCUUUUUUCCUUUUUCGCUCCGCUUGCGAGCUGUAAUACUUUUAUGACUUUGUGCUACUUCGAGACUUCUUAAUAAAAUGGCUGCAUGCAUCAUCCGAUGCGGAGGCCGGGGCCGAGCCUCCAUUUUCAAAAAAGGGCAAAAAUAAAUUUAAUUCGAUAUGUGGAUUAGUCACAACUAGCUAGAACAACUUCUGGACCCUGACAAAAAAAGCGUACUAUUCUGCAUGACAAAUUCAUGACCAAUGAAUCAAAAGCCCUCGAGAAGGUCGCAAAUCCUCAGAGUUCCCACAUCCUCUAGACCAGUCAUUCCUCUACGCAAGGUCAGUCACCACUCACCACGCACCACCACAGGAGAGUGCCAGCAAGCCAAGAUUUUAGGUGUGACAGCCAUUGCCGAGAAGGAACAUGCCCCACAUGGCAAAGUUUUUUAUCUUUUUAUAGUAAAUUAUGAUUUUGAACUAUCUUAUAAAUCUUGUACUGAAUUUGAAGACCAUGAACAGUAAAAAUGACUUGGGCCCAUGAACACCGUAAACAAAAUGAGGGAUCAUUUCUAUACUAUCGAAAAAUAUAUGAUAAGUGUACUAACCUGCUGAAAUAUCAUAUCCAUCUUCUCUCAGUAGCCUGAAGGAAAGUGUUGCAUCUAGUAGAUCAUCACUGUCAACAAGAUUCAAGCACGCAUCCAUGCCAUCAUUGAUCUCGUUUUGGAAAUAGUGGUCGAUGCAGAGGCGCUUGAGGUGAUCAAUAUCAGUCAUCACCUUCCUCUUUUCCUUAUGGUUUUGAUGCAGCAUUUCCUUAACACUCUUCAGGCCCUCCUGUUAUUCCAUGGAGAGAGAAAAAAAAUUAAAAUGCAAAAAUGGGAGAUAUGGGAGACUUUAUGUUUCACUUUGCGAGGCUAAUUCUUCUAUUCAUCAAAGGGGAAAAAACAGGCUACUUUCCUAUCUUCUCCAAGGCUUAUAGCAGCGCAGUUAGUCAGUUCUUUUCCGAGUAAUUCAGUUAGUCAGAAAUUUAAAUGGUUAGAAAAAAUAUAUCUAAUUCAAUAACAAGCCUUAAAGUCACAUUGGAGAACUGAUGGUGAUGUGAAUAAAUUUCUACCAAGAAUAAAAGCUCUCAGUUCAUCUUGGUAGUCCAGAUAAAUAGGGGGUGUCUGCUAAGUCCAGAUGAGACGUGCGGAGGCUGGUUAAGCCGGAGAAAUAGAAAAACUAGGGCGUUUGAGCGCCAGGGGUACGCGGCUAAGUUUUUUUUACCGGAGCUGGGAGCUACCUGUGGAGAAUCUACCAUUCACUUGGUUUCUCUGAGAUUCGUGCCAGCCUUUUGUGUAUAAAGUAAAAAUAAUUUGCUAUGCAAUACAGACAUUAGACAAAGGAAUACAUCUAUGCAUGUGAGAUGUGUGACAACUUUUGAUGUGACAGGACUGGGUGACUGAUGAAGAGGACGGCGCAUGGGUUCUCUGCCCCAAACAAAAUAGUUGCAUUUUAUUUCCUGGUCAUAUUUUGAAUGGUUAAUAACUAUGAACCAAAUUUCAGUAAUUGAAUUUUUUUUGUACAUUUGAAGUCAGGGUGAUAAGACCUUUAAAACAAGACCGGUCUUGAAUACAAUUUGGCUAGAUUGAAUUUUACUGUUUCAAUUAGUUUCACAUUGCAAAAAGUACGAUUUUAUUCAUUUCAAUAAACAGAGUUUACUCAUUCCAAAAAAAAUAUUUCACUACUUUGAAAAUACAGAUUUCACUCAUUUACAAAUUGAUUUCAUAUAUAUAUCAAUAAGCUGGUAUAUAAUUUUUCAGAAAUAUAAUAUUUCAAGAAACUAAUUUCAGAAAACAUAUUACGCUCACUCAAUUGAAAUACUAUAUUUCACUUGUUUCAAAAAAGUGAUUUCACUCAUUACAAAAGAUAGAUUUCACUCAUUUUAGUAGUUUCAGAAAACUACUACACUCACAAUAUACACACUGAAAUAAGCGGUUUCCCUGAUUUCACUCAUUUGAAAGUACAAUUUUUGCUUGUUUCAUUUGAAAAGAAGUGCUUGAAUUAUUUCACUCAUUUUAGAGGACCGAUUUCAGUCCUUAUAAAAGAUUGAUUUUCAAUCGUUUUGACUUAAAAUAUAUGUUUCAAUUCCUUGAAAUGAUUUAUAUCUAUGAACUUAUGAAUUUUAUUUUUUGGACUAAGUGAAAUCUAUAAAACGAGAUAUUUUUUUGAGAAUGUGAAACACCUUAUUUUUAAAUCUAGUUGAAAAAUAUUCAAUAUUGAACUUGUUCUGUAUAUCAUGUUGCAAGGAAUUUGAAUAUAUAUAAAAAAUUCAGUAAUGGAUUUUUGUGAAAGACAGUGACCAUCUAAAAUUGUAAGCAAAAAUAAAAAGAUGCAUUUGUUUGAAAGGGCAGAGAGAGGAAAGAAGUUGCAUGCAUGCGUACGGUAUGCUGACAGAAGUAGUACCUGUAGCUGACAUACUAGUGCAAAGUGGUGAAAAGAGGUGGGCCAGCCAUCUGACAUACAACAGUGUUAUACAAGAGGUGGGUUAUGAAAAUAAAAAUGCUAUACUAGAGGUGGGCCACAUAAAUGCACGAAACGCAAACAAGACGAACGAUGGAUGCAUGGUUUGCCGGUACCUCCAGGAACCGGUAAAAAGAGGUUUGCGCGGGGGUACAUCGCCCCAAAAAAUUUCUCUUGUCUCGUGCACUUAUUCUUCUACCUUCGUAUAGGGUUAGACCCAACAGCCCAAACUUCGCGUGCCCAUGGCCACGAGGAACGAGGACGGCCGCGCGUUGCUGAUGGCCAGGAGGGGGGACUCGAUAUGGAGGAGAGGGAGGGAGGACGAGGAGACCGCAUAAGGCGCUGGAUUUGAGAGAGGAGAGAUUUUGGGGAGAUGAGACGGGAGAAUGGAUUUGUGUGAUUUGGAAGAGUCGAGGAGAAAGUGAGGGGAGAACAAAGAAUAGAAACCAAGGGGGAGAUAUUUUCUUUUUCUUUUUUUUAAAUCAAGAUAUUCUCUUUCUACUGGUGAUAAGGGCAUCUUCAACGGUGAACGCUUGUUGAGGCUUUUACAUGAUAGGAAAUGUACGGGAAAUGAUUGGGAUCAGCCGACGGAUAACGACGCGUGUGAUCCACCGCCACUGUGGCCGUUAGAUCAGGUUUUAAUCAGAUGGCUAGAAGCAACGUAUUACCUAGACUAGUUUUUGCAACUAAAGUCGUUCUUGCAAUCUCCCCCGCCGCAAAAACUGUUGUGUUGUGGGAUCUGGAUCCCCUCGACAUUGGCCACCACCCGUGCACCUCGCAAGAUCCCCAUCAAGCCAACUCUGUCUCGUGCUGCUUCGACCGCCGUCAUCGACGUUCGCCACCGGCAGCAUGCCGACAAGGUCGCGGGCGUGACCGCAGCCGUUGCCGCCCACCUCCACCAUGAAUGUUGGACGUCCUGGUGCGCCCGAACUCAAGCUGCAUCCCGCCGCCCAGUGGGAGCACCAGCAUCUGUGUCCUUGGGGGGGAGUUACGUCCACCUUCGCCCCACCGUCCCGAAGGAGCACCAGCCUUUCCUUAGGUCGACAUGGUCGAUGCUCUCUACAACCAGUUUCAGCAAUAAGGUAUGUUGCAAAAAAAAACUGUAACAAGACCUAUGUUGCAAAAUAAAUAGAUUUCAACAAGACCUUUGUUCCAAAAAAAAAUGCAACAAGACAUCUGUUGCAAAAAAACUGUAACAAGACAUAUGUUGCAAAAAAUAAUCGGCAACUUGAGCUAUGUUACAAAAAUUUCCGUAACAUAACCCCAACACGACAUGUGUUGCAAUGGUAGAAGGUUAAUCUUGGGCGCUCCAGAUUUGACGGCUCGUAAGGCGGCAGAUCUUUUAAAAAGAUCCAUGGGCCGACUGUGUAGGGUGUCCAUCCCUCCAACGCCAAUAGCAAUCUAUAGAUGGCCCAUGAUUUAUGAAAAAAGAAAAAAAGAAAACAGAAGCGCUCGAUGCCUUGCGCGGCAUUGACGCAAGCGAGAUUCCCUGUCUAGGGUGGGAAUCGGGCAUAACUGCCGGGAAAUCAACCUUGGUGUCGAUCGUUAGCAUCCGCGUUGUAAAUGCCCUAGGAGGAUGGAUUUGACCCUAAAGAAAGAUGGAUUUGGAUUUGGUUCCAGAUGUUACAAAUUUCUGUUUGGAAAUUCGGGGCCGCUCCAAUAUCCGAAAUUUGAAAAGAGUUUCAGAAAACAUAAUUCAAAAGAAUAAAAUAUGACCAAAAUCCAGUAGAGUUUUUGAAAACCGUGCAUCUUUGGUAAAAUGAAUCAUGUUCAUUGGAAGGGUCAACUUUCCAAGGGGCGUGCUAUUUGGCGGGCGCCCGCCAAAUUCCAUACUCAGCGGCCAAUCAAGUUUAGAAGUGAAUUUUUUCUUCAAAAAAAGUUUAGAAGUGUUUUUUGUUUAUUAUUGAAAUAAUAAUUGACAGAAAUAAAAGUAUUUUGGUUGUUUUUCUGUGAGGAAAUUUUGGUUGGGCUUCAUAGAUUCGCUAGUAAAAUCCUUCCAAAUAACAACCGUGUAAGCGAUAGUCUGGUUGCAUACCCCUUCGCUCUUGUACGCCAGGGCACCCUAUGCGCCUCCGUCGAUCGAUCUCGUGGUCUUAGUUCCAAGGAAGCGCGGUGGAUCUCGGCAGUUGCCGGCGGGAGGGCUUUGUUUUCAGAUGGUUUUUUAGUUUUGUUAGGCUUUGUGUACUACUCGGAGAGGGGAGGCGACGGCUCUCAGAAGAUGGAAUAAGGUCCUCCCAGCCUAACCCUCAUCUGGGUGGUGUUUCUAGCAUCAUCGAAGGGCAUGUGAAGGUUUCUCUCUGGCGGAUCUCAUGGGAUUAAGUCGGUGUUUGUCUUCCUGGAUCCACGUGGAUACGAUCUUCAUUCGUUUGUGUUCAUGUGCCUGCAAGUUGGAUCCUUCUGAUCUACACAUCUCUUCAUCGGCGGCGGUUGUUGACCUAGUGCGCUGGUCCAGUGGGGCUUUAUCAUGACGACUUCCCGACUGUCUACUACAACAAGAUUUGUCUGCCUCCCAUGAGGGAGGGGCGAUGACGGCGGCAUGCCUUCGGCUUGUUCCAGUGCAUGUAGUCGUCGCUAGGUGGUCUACGAACCUGGGUGUACUUUUUACUUCUAGUACUAUGUACUACGUUAACAGUUCAUGAAUAGAUUGAAAGUUUUUCACGCAAGAAAACCGUGUAAAAAAACAAAGUAUUGCAACCAGCGGCAGCUAGUAAUUUUUCUUAUUUUAGCAUAUAUGUAGUCUCUCUGUUCACGGAUAUAAGAUGUUUGAACUUUUACUGAGUCGGGUGUAUAUAGACAUCAGGGACGGGCCCAUAGUUGUGCGGGACUGUAUGGCCCACACAGGGCCCAUAGAUUUUGGGGGGCCCAAAUUGGUAUAAGGCCUAUGUAUAUUUUCUUCCUGCCGCGUCCAAGCGGCCUGCUCGAUGCCCCCCAAACGGGAUCCAUCGCAUCCUAUCCAGAGCUGGAGUUCCUAUGCGCCGCUCGUUGCGUGAAAAAUCCCCAAAAAGUCUGCUCGAGGGAGGGAUCAAACCAGGGACCUCCUGUUGCUUAUGCGCGAGCCUAGCCAACGGGAUAGAUGAGCUUCUUCGUGUACUAUGGCGUGUGAAGCUAAUGGUAAUAUAGAUCCGAGCAUUUUGUCAAAUUCUGAAGGCGAACAUUAUUUUGGAAAUAUGUUUUUUCAAAGGGACCACUUUUCAACUUUGAGAAGAAGAAAAAAAGCUCGAACAUUUCUUGAUAAACUGAACACUUUUUUGAAAAUGGCGAACAUUAUUGAAUAUGUGAAUAAAUUCUCAUUAAAGGCGACAUUUUUUGAAACUCUGGACAAUAAUUUGGAAACACGAAUAGUUUUGGAAUCGGUCAACAAUUUUUGAAACAAGAACAUUUUUUCAAACUCAGGACAAAAUUUGAAAAUGAAAACAUUUUAUAAAAUUCGAACAUUUUUUAAAAUUUUGAACAUUUUUUUAGAAAUAUGAACAGUUUAUCAAAUCAAGAAUGUUUUUUAGAACUCUGAUAUAUUCUAAAAAGGAAAAAGGAACAGGAGAAAAUAAGCAGAAAAACGAGAAAAGAAGAUGAACAUUUUUCAAAUUCGUUAGCAUUUUUUAAAAAGUCGAACAUUUUUUGAAAUUCCCAAACAAAAUUAGAAACAGACACAUUCUUGAAAGUUACGAACAAAAUUUGAAAUAGAAACAAUUUUUGAAACAACCAAAUAAAAUUGGAAAACAUGAACAUUUUUCUCAAAUUUGCGAAUGAAUUUUGAAAGAGGAACAUUUUUUACGAACUCCUAAACAAAACUUGAAAAUAUGAACAUUUUUUGAAUUUUGUGAACAAAAUUUUAGAACUAUGAAUAUUUUGAAUUUGUGAACAAAAUUUGGUAAGUAGAAUAAAAUUUUGAAAGAAAGGAAUUUCGAUAGCAUGAGCAGUUUUUAAAAUUGAAGAAUUUUUUUGAAAAUUUAGAACCUUUUUAAAAAUCUCAAACGUUUGGAAAUUCAAACAUUUUUUCAAUACAUGAACAAUAUUUUGAAAACCGGAACACAUUUUUUAAACUUUGAACAUAUUUUUUGAUAAGCGAACAAUUUUUUUAACUUCAAAAAUUUUUGUAAAGAACGAAUAGUUUUUACAUGCAGACAAAAUUUUAAUAGUUUGAAUAUUUUUAAAAUUAUGAAAAAUGAAAAACUGAAGAGGAGGAAAAAUAAAGAAAAGAAACAGAAAGAAAAGGAUGAAAAAAGAAAACUUGUAAAGGUAGAAAAGGAAAAGAUAGAGAAGAAAUAAUAAACAGGAAAAAGGAAAAAAAAGACGAAACAGAAACAGAAAAAAAGUGUUAGGAAGCUUCUAGAAGGUUCCCAAAACCGGAAAAAACGGCUGGGAACAAGCGAGAAGGUUCCUAAAACCGGAACAUCGAAACAUUUUACAGGCCGGCCCACGCGCGAACCCUCGAUCGAUCUCCCUGUGCGUCCGCCGGACAACUUGCGGCAGCGAGCGGCAUUCCAUCCAGAGGCAGCCAACGAUUGCCGCCCUCAAAAGAUUCAGCGUAGCGCUGGGUUUUUUUCCGCACUAAUUAUGUGUUGUACUAUGGCAGAAGAUAUAAUUACUUUAUGCCCAGCCAUAAUUACCUUCAUGUGCUGUGUACUGAAGCCCAAAACAGCCCACGCGCAUUAUCCUGUAUUUAGGCCACUGUGGUAAACUGUACUUUCAUUUGUAUGUUUGGCUUGUCUAAAAAAAAUUGUAUGUUUUCCAAGACCUAGCGUCCAUCUAUUCCGCGCCGCCGUCGCUGCCCUGUCGGUUGCCUUGUGAGUUGCCGGAUGCCACCUACACACCGCCGUCAUGGUUCGUCCAUCCUACACUGGCAGCAGUGCGGUGCGAGUAUUCAGUCCGCAGAUCACUGUAUUGUAUUGGCGUAUCCGUUUCUUGAGCAGUUAGAUCUAUAGGUAUGUAUUAAGUACUAGUUUUUAUUAUGUUGGUGGAUUUCAAUCCAGUAUUCUAGUGAUCUCGUUUACUUGCAUAUAAGACAACAGGUUAAUUCACAAAUUAGGUGUGUCGCUUUUCCAUAGUAGAUGACUUUGAUUAAUUUGGCAAAUCACAUGAUCACUUAACCCAAAUGAAAUUGCUGCAAUAGACCCCAUGGUCUAAAGUCAAUCUAAUAAUAAAGAUUCACAAGGAUCAUUUUCCGUGAAGUUUUAUCUAUUGCGUGGUCAUUCUCUUCCCUCAACCCCUUCAUGUUUAAAUCCUGGCUCCACUUCUGCGCUUGAGAGCAAAGUGUUGAAGAAGAUUAAUUACAAGGAUAUCAUUGAACAUUUCAUUUCAAAGAAUACUAAAAGAAUGACUUGUUCAAAUAAAUAUCAGGCAACCGGGAGUUGAAUAGGUAUGCUUUUUUACACAUCCAAUUGCUAUGUAAGACAUUAUAUCAUAUACGUUAUAUUGCUCAUUAGUUUAUUUUAGUGAGAUGGGGCCCCAUUUUUUAGUUUCGCACAGGGCUCUGGAUUUUGCCGACCCAGCCUUGAUAGACAUGUUCUAAUGUGUUUGUUCAGUCAUUUUAGUCUGUACAUAGUAAUAUUAAAAUAUCCAGAACAUCUCUUAUAUUUAUGAAGCGAGUGAGUACUAGUUAUGUAAUGUGUCUAUUACCGGUGCUCGAGUGUCUGAGUGUUAACUUGGAACCCACUAAGAUGAAUUUCUAGACCCGUCGCUUAUUGCAACGUUAGAUUGAAUCAAUAGAUAAUGAUAUUCUUCUCGCCUAGCUCAUCACCGAGACAUUCGAUUUAAAUAAUCUUGUAUCCUUAUUAUUGGCACAAACGCAAUCAGAAGUUUCUUUCUCUUUGGGUCGCGCUAACUGCCACACGUGUGGCAGGAAGGAAGACGCACCACACGUCUCUAAUGUAAACAGAUUGCCACGUCAUCGCAUGCAUGCAUGCAGGAAUUUUUUUGGAUUUUCAGUUUUUAAAAUGUUUUAUCUCUUAAACGAAAAAUCCGAUUGAAAAUCCGUUUUCACCAUUAAAUCCCUCGCGAUGAGAUCUUCGAAACUAGAUCCAAUGUUGAUAUGUUUUAAUGAAUUUUUUUUUGGAUUAAAAGUUGCCAUGUCUAUUGCAUAUGAAUUGUCAUGAUGUUUACACUGAAGUUGCCAUGAUAUGUUUCAGCUCUUUUCUUCUACAUUUAAAAGUAAAUUUUGACAUUUAUAAAACGGGGAAUUAAGAAACUAGACUUGCCAUGAACCAUAAACUAAAAUUGCCAUGAUACAUGCACGUAAAAUUGCCAUGGUUCAUACAAAAAAUAAUUUUCAUGGUCAAAGUACUAGAGUUGCCAUCAUCAAAAUACUAAAAUUGCCAUGAUCUACAAACUAAAAUUGCCACAUGGCAACUUUAGUUUAAGCCCUAUGGCAACUGCAGUGUAAACAUCGUGGCAACUUCUGACAAAAAAAAAAUCAUCGAAACAUAUCAACAUGGGGUCUAGUUUUGAAGAUCUCGUCGAGACGGAUUUAAUGGUGAAAACGGAUUUUUAGUUCGCUUUUUUAUUUAGAAGAUACAACAUUUUUAAGCCGAAAACCAAAAAAAAUUCUGCUGAUGUCAUCUAUUCAUACGUGGCAAAAUGAGUGGUGAUGGAGGCGUGUGGGCGAUGUGCAAACGCCCACACGUGUGGGCGUUAACAUUUUCGUUUUCUUUCUGUCACCAAAAUACUUCACUUACUGAGGGUUUUCUAUCCUGCUCCCUCUUAUUUUCCAUUUUCACAUGAAAGAUACGAGUAUAAAAUAGAUCUAAGCCGUUGAUUGUACUAAAUAGUGGGUUUGAUUAACUCUUAACUUCUUACCUUCCGUGUGAAAAGAGAGGUUUUUUAACAUGCUCCUCUUACUCUCUGUCUCCGUGCAUGUUAAAAUUGCUCUUAUAAAGAUUUACAAGACGACGUGCGAGUCGAGUCGAGCACCUCACCUGGAAGUCAAAACCAUCGGCCAUCGCGUGGGAGUCCCGGGUAGGGCUCGUCACCAUGCAAGGGCGGAAGGAUCGACGUCGCCGGCCGCCAACUCCGGCCACCGGCGAGGCUGAGAACAGCGGUGGCUCGACGGAGGAGAAGACGUGCGCCGCCAUCAGUCAGUUGCGACUAUCACCUCUGUAACCACACAACUGUUGGCUAAGGAGCAAGUGAGCAACUACCGUACUUGUCAAGCCGCCACGAACAAAUACAUAUAGGCAGCGACGAACAUUUAUAUUACUGCGCCGACGUACACACACGCAGGAUGUCUGGCCAGAAAAGGAGGUAGGAUUUUUUUUGCCGACCUUGCGCUGAAACUUCUCCACGUCCCUGGAUCUAAAUGACUAGGGUGAUUCGUAGCCUCCUUUCCCAUACAAAUGUUGUGGCGCCUACGGGGUAAAGCAGCAGCCAUAUAUAUCUGUGCUAGGUUGGAAGAGUGCUCACUAGAAGAGAGCUACGUCGUUGUUGCUACUAUAGAUUGCGCCCGCCCUGAAAUCUCAAUGACCGGGAUGGGUUUCAUACGGAAUCUGGGACGAAAUCUGCAAGUGGAGAGGAAGAGAUUUCGACAACAUAAUUUUUUCCAACUUCACAGAAAUGUACGUGCAUUUUUUAGGAAUGUUAGUUCAAACAUUUUAACAAAAAUGUGUGUACGACUAAAAAAGGUGUUCACGUGUAUGUAAAAAAAUGCCAUGUAGAAUAAAAAUGUUCAGUAUUUUUAUUAAAUGUUCAUGUAAUUAAGAUGUGUUCAUCUAUUCUGAAUAAAAUACAUGUACUUUUAAAGAAAUGUUCACAUAUUUUAAAAAGUGUUCAUAUACUUUCAAAACAUGUUCAUGCAUUUCCUGUGAAAGCGAUCAUGUUAUUAAUGAAAGCAUUCGUCCAUUUGAGAAAUUAUUCAUGUAAUUAAACAAGUUUUCCACCCAUUUGAAAAGUCUUCAUGUAAUUUUAAAAUAGUGUAAUAUUCAUGUAUUUUUUUAAACCCAUAUUUUUUUAAUAUCUUAGUAUAUUUUUAAAACAAAACAUGAAACUUAAAAUAGAAGAGAAAAAGGACAAACAAACAAGAAAAUAAAAAGGAAUAAAACACAAAACAAAAAAGAAACAUGAAAAAAGGAAAAACCCAACACAAACCAGCACAAAAAAACCCGACAAAAGAAAAUAGGAAAAAACAACUGAAACCAGUCCGGUCCACACCCCCACAGCUGGGUCUGGUCCCUACCUUCGCCCAAAUUUUUAUGGCCAGCGAUUUUGCUCGGCAGGUUCAUUAAUGAAAUGAAGUGUUUCGAGCUAAAAAAAACGGUGAUCCAUAAUUUUUUCUUCCACGUUCGUCCGUGGACAGGGGGACCAGUCCGCGUACACGAAUGCGAGAGGCCGUCAUUCAACGCUAUCCUAUAUAUGUCCGCCAGUAAAAGGUAAUUUGAAAUUCAAAUUUAGUUUGAUCCACACAGUGUGUCACAUCACACCAGCGCCAGAUCGCAUGCUCUAUCACAGCCAAAAAGAGACAAGUAUGCUUAGUUUUUACAUGCCGAAUCCAAAAAAAUAUCAGUCUGACAAUCAGUGCAAUUUUUCAUAAAAUGGUGUGUGUGUGGCGCUAUCGGCAAGGCACGUUUCCUCCGUUCGGGCACCACAUGCGUUCUAAAAUAUAACAUCUAACUAAUGUAAUGAGGAACAAGCUACAUUAAUAAUAAAUGCACACAUUUCGGAACAUGACAUACUCCCUCCGUCUCAGUUUACAAGUCCUACGCGUAUACCUAGGUUACCAUUUUUAUCACCCUAAUAUAAACUAUAUAACACAAAAAUUAUACGGUUUGAAAAUAGAACAUCUGAAUUUUAUAUUAAUAUAUUUUUUAUAAUAUAUGAUUUAUAUUAGGUUGGUCAAAUUGACGACCUAGGGGUACGCGCACGCCCUUUAAACUGAGAGAGAGGGAGUACUAUCAUGGAUAAAUAAUGAAAUAAAUGAAUGACAUAAAUGUCAUCCAAUCGCCAAUGUAAAGAAUAUGCUCUCAUGGAGCUUACAACCAAAUCGAGUUUACUCGAAUUUAUUGUAUGAAAUCAUGGAAUCAUGAUAACUAACGAGGUAAGCUAUAUAAACGAGUAUUUAUAUAGGGGCAGGGGUCAAGAGAUAAAUACUCAUUUAACGUAAAGUGUGGAACCAGAAGGGGCUAAGCCGUGCGCAUCGCACGUGUCCGCCGCCACCCUCGUGGUGGACCCGGUUUCCCAACAAGUGUGUGUGCGCGCGUAGUGGCGCCGAGCAUUGUGGCUGGCUUUUGUGAGUGUGUGCAUUGGAGCUAGCUUGGGUUAAAAAAGCCCCCGUGUACUCGUUGUAAGUGCGUCGGUAUGAGCCAUGCCACGGUGCGUUGCCGAGCCCGGGUAUGUGCCCAGUAAAUUGACGCCGUUCGUGUGAUGUGGCGUUUGUGCGCCGGAAAUAUUUGUGUCCCUCUUCUUUUCCACCUAUGUCCGAGCGAGUGUGAGAGCGAGGUAGUCCGGUUUGUCCCAACACAGCCAGCAAGACGGCCACUAGCUGCUAGCGGCUUAGAUGUACUAAAAUGACAUUGUCGCCUCUUCAUGGUGAAAUCAUUAAUUUCCUUGUAAACACUAACAAUUGGCAUCACCUUUGUGUUAUUUGUAUUAGUUGGCGUGCAUCAACACAAUCGUGGGCCUAAGCCCAGGCCCAUGACUCCCUACCUGGCAGUCUAUAUAAUGCAAGAGUUGGCCAGUGUAGUUGAUAGACACACUCUCUCCUCGCGUAACCCUAUCCGUCAUCUAAAUGUACCUUUCAGUGUGCUGCUUCUGGCGAUCCCAUCCCGACAACCGCAUGCACAGUUGGCCAAGAGAUCCCAUCCUGACAACCGCAUGCACAGUUGGCCAAGAGAGCGGGUGCCCUCGAAACCACGUCCUUCGAGAUCCUACCCGGGAGAAGGGCCAUAAGGUUUUUGGGGAGCGUCUCUGUCCUCCUCUACUUCAACUACUUUCCCUGCAUGAUCCCAUGGCGAACGAUGACAAAGCCGCCAAGAAGAAAGCCACGGACGACGUCAAGGUUGUUGCUGUCGCUGCCUGGCCAACCAAAGAGUAUGACUUGUUCAUCCCCUACUAACUCGUUCAUCUGCUAGCCAUAUAUGUCCUGUACAUAGAUGUUUUGUUCUUUGUGUUAUACAUGCUCACAUGUUUAGCUAUCACCUAUCGGUAUGAGUUGCAUACUGUGAAUCAUAUGCUUACUGUUAACUCGUGAACUAGAUUAAUCGAAAAGGUGGUGCUAAUAUUUCCAACAUAUUUGAUUUGAUUUCCUAGCAUGCAUCCAGUAUUGCAGAUGCGAACGCGUACUGCAAAUCUGAGAAAGUCUACGCAACUCUAUUUCAUUAUAUGCAAGUCACGCGUGCAUACGGAACCUGAAAAGGGCAGUGAAGCUUUGUUGGUGGCCAGAGGUGAUAAAAUGCAUCUGUCCCUCAAGCAGGCUCAGAAAAAAUCAGCUCUACUAAAUGAUACAGAUUUUCUUACUGGCAUGCAAUGCCAAACUCGAGAAGCAGCUAAAUAAAUGUAGCAGCAACAGAACGUGCUAAUGCGAGGCGGGCGAAGGUUCUAUCUUCCCGGUACAGCCUAAGAUUAUUUCACUUCACCUUUGAACCACUUUCCAAUACAGACGAAGUCACCACCAACGAAUUUCGACAGAACUAAGUUGGAACCGAUUUCACCGAGCAUCUUAACCACCAUCUUCUGCUACCGCCUAGCUAAACUGGUGGUCCACUGGCAUCCCAGCGUUUUUACCCCUGGCAUGGGGUGGGUUUAUAUACACAAUCUGGGCUGUGAAACAACAGGAACCAGGAUUCAUCGUUUUACAAGGUGGACGUGAGCUUGCAACUGUGCGAGGAAAUUCAGCCAUGCCUGAUGGACCAACCCAGCAUUUCCCCUGCCAUCGUCGUAAGUGCGAGAAGAGCUAGUUGGAUGGAGGUCCAGAUCCACCCAUGCGCCUCCUGAGCCGGCCCCGAGUCAACCGAAUAGCCUCCUGGAUGAGCGUCUCCUCGUCUUCAGGCAUUGUUGGGCGGGGUGGCACGUUGCUUGUCGAAGGCCCAGAUUGAUCAACCAGCAUGUCUUCACUCUUUGGGGGGCUGUUGCCGGCGACAGGGCCAGGACAGGAAGGUGUUUGUUGCUGCACAGGAGGCACUGCGCCAGGAGGGGCAACUGGAACUGGGCCUUUAUCUUGCACCUGCAUCCUUGGUGGAGUAGGAGGAACUUGGGCGGCCUGUGGCGGCAUCGGUGGUGCCGUUGGUGCGGGAACAGGUGGUGGUGCAGGAUUCGCCAUCCGAGUCCGUGGAGGUGGUGGACGCUGCUGCUGUUGCUGUGCCUGUAUAGAGAGACAGUAAAGUAAGUACAUGAGACAUAUACAGCUGACACUGACACACACACGCACAAGCACACAAUACUAGGUAAGUUAAUGAGUUCUAAAAAACCAUCUGACUCUGAAUCCUGCAACUGGUAAACAGAAAGCCCAUGCUGCACUCUCGACAAAUGCACACAGAACUUCUGUACAUGAAUAAUCCUAACCCUUCCUAACAAAUGGUAUGACGAAAUGGUGCAGCAGUUAUCACAUUCCAAUAUGGAAAUUAUAUAUUAUACGUGCUUCUCAGGUUACUAACUCUAACAAAGGAUGUAACAAGAAUGGAAGUGCUAUUCAUGCAAGGUGAUACAAACUAUGUGGAACUAUAGAUCAAACUUUGCUAGAAGUACCAGAGGUAUGGAGCAAAACUAAAUUGCAGGUCGUCAACUUGAUCACUGUCAGUACACGAUCAAAUAUCUAUGUUGUCUUUAACAAGAUAUGUAAAGCAUCAAGCAUGACAAGGUAAUUCUAGACAAGUUUGCUUUUGUAUGUGUGCCCAAACAAAUAAGAGCUAAGCAACCUAGAGGUCGAGGACACCAUGAAUAAUCCUAUUGUGAUAAUUCUUGCAAGAAAAUUGGUACAGGAGUAUGGUAGAUGAAUGGCAUGAUACUACAAAAUCAUUGCUAGCUAAUUUUGUCCACGCAAAUGCCACAAUUAACCACAACUCAGGCUCCUAAGCUGUAAAAUAAACCAGAGAAACAAAUGCCAUUUCCUACCAAAUACCAACAGAGAUUACUGAAUAGUGAUAAAUCCAGGUACAAUCGUAAGCCAGUUUGAUUUGGCAGAACAAUUGGGUUUGACUAAACUGCGCCCUAACUGAUGAAAAGAAAAAGGGAUAAUGUUAUAAUGCAACUACAUGGUGAUGAGUUGAUGACAUAGCAGAACUUGUGCGGCACACAAAUUCUUCCAAAGGGUGCGACCAGGACAUACACACAAAUUCUUAGAGUGCACGCAAGGUAGAAUAUUCAACUGAACACUAGGGGGAAAUAUUUCUAGAAUUUCACAAUAUGGUGUGAAAACACUCCAGUAGUAGCGCUCUUAGAAGACCAGAGCAAAUUUCCCAACCUAUCGAUAAUUCACAGAAAUUCUCAGAACUAGGAAAAAUUAGAUGCAUAUUCUCUCUAUUAUAAAUGGAAGGUAAAUGCAUAUGCCAAAAUUUUGGAGCAAUAUAUGAUCUCUGAGCGUCAUACUAUAUUUCUUUUACCCAAACAUAGGAGUAUUAUUUAACUCCAAUUGUAACUACAAAAAAAAAUCAGUAAACACCACUCGUAGACGAGAGGCUGAAUGUAAAAAGAAGUGUUGCAUAAAGGAACAUAGAAAUGGGUAUUAUUCAUGUUUUUCUAACUUCCACUAGAAAUCAGGGAAUCAAUGUGAAUUUAAGAUCAUUUUAACAUUUAAAAAAAACAUGUGGUGGUAGGAUGCAAUACAUACAUCGUUAUCAAUACAACAUGUGAAUAAAUUCAUGGCCUAGCAUUUAAAAUUCUACUCCAGCCUACAACAUUGGGCUCAAAUAGAAGAAAACCUAAAUAGCACUACCAUUAUGGAACAAGCCACCAGAUUAUAUCAUAUACUCCCUCCGUCCCAUAAUUCUUGUCUUAGAUUUGUCUAAAUACGGAUGUAUCAAGUCACGUUUUAGUAUUAGAUACAUCCGUAUCUAGACAAAUCUAAGACAAGAAUUUUGGGACGGAGGGAGUACAAACUAUAGAAGUUCAGUCAUCAUAUAGUGGGUAGUGUUACACUUCUCGCUAAAAUAGACAUCAUAGCAGUACAAAAUGACUGUCACACAAGCUUUAAAGUUUUGAAAGUACCUGAGAACGAGAUCCUUGUGAUUGAGAAGCAAUAUAUUGCAAGAUUUCAUGGAACCUUGACUGGCUGUAGUCUGCAACCUUGUGGAAGUAAGUAACAGCAAUAUCACUAGCCCUUGUCCUCAACUCAAGAAGAUUGCGAUCAAUCUCAGAUUCGUGUUUUGCGAUAUAAGGCUUGAAGAACGACUCAUAGACAUAUGAAGUCCCCUGGAAUAACCCUUUGUUAGAGACAAGCCAUAAGACAUAACAUGUUAUGGCAACACAAAAAGCAGGAAACAAAACCUGUGUCUUAGGAUACCACAAAUACACAAUAAAAGCCAGCUUUGCUUCACUAUACAUUGGCAACCUGUAUGAAAAUGGAACUAUCAACCAUCAAGCAGAUGAAGUCCCCCAACUGUAAUCACCCAAAAUCCGAAUUCAAAUGAGUCACAUUACCAUGAUAUGAAAUUAUCCCCAACUCUCUCGAAAACAGUAAGCAUUGCAAGUAAAAUCCUGCAAAACCAUGGUCAUGCAUGUGAGACCAAGCAAAAACAAAGAAUGAUAGCCCAAAAUAAAAUGGAAGGACGUCAAAGACAUACCAGUACUGACACCAGAACCGCAACUGCUCAAUCUCAGGCCUAUUCAGCUCCACUGUCUUGUAACAAUCAUAAGCUGGAUAUGCAUAUCCAAGAACAAGUCUGCAAAACGGAUAAAUAGCAGAAACAUUGUGGGUGUAAACAAGAAUCACACCAUUGCUGUGAUUAAAUAAGAACUGAAUUGCUGCUUACAUUAAAGCUCUGGUGAUGAAUGAUCCGACAACCAUCUUGACCCCUACACCACAGAAACAUCAAUUACAUAUGUUGUCAAUUGCCAAAAGCAAGAUAGAUAAAUGUCCUAUGAGGGUCAAAUAUAUAACAGGCUAGCAGUCAUUAUGCUAUAUACUUCCGCAAGCUCCUUCACAUCAGCAAAACAGAACACAAAAAGAUGGAAAUAGGCACCGCAUGCUAGAUUAAGCCUUUAUCUUGCUGAUUACUUCAGCCAUCACACAUCUAGAAAGCCUUAUCCAAUCAUACUAGCACCAUAAAGUCAUACUCCCUCCGUUUUGAAAUAAUUGUCUUUCUAGAGAUUUCAACAAGUGACUACAUACGAAGCAAAAUGAGUGAAUCUACACUCUAAAACAUGUCUACAUACAUCCGUAUGUUGUAGUCUAUUUGAGAUGGCUAGAAAGACAAUUAUUUCGGAACGGAGGGAGUAGGUGAUACCAAACCAUUUGGCUAGAGUUCGAUUUUGUUAUAACAAACAGGGGCUACGCAGAGUAGGGGAAACCUAACGACUGCCUGUCCUGGCAAGAACAAACAAAACUUCUGUUAAAGUUGGGUCUAGAUAAGAACAGGGGGUGCAUCAAGCAUCAUAAGUUCAUAUCAGUCCAUUUUGCUAGAUUUCGAUUUUGUUACAGCAAGCACUGCACGGAAUAGGAGGAAAUCCAAACAAUUACAUAUUCCCAGUCAGACCAAACAAUUUACUGUUACAUUUUGGCUUUAGUAUAUGAUAGCAGAAGGUACACCUCCUCUGCCCUAAGAAAAUGACCAAGCAAAUCAAUCCGAACAUGAACUGGGAGGCAAAUUGAAUGGAGGGACCCGAUACAGAUCGAUUCAAAGGAGCAGCCAAAAGUACACCUAUGCUCUCAGAAGAAGACCAACCAAAUUAAUCUAAACAUGAACUGGGAAGCAAAACAUAAAAAGAUGAAAAUAGGUACUGCAUGCUAGAUUAAGCCUUUAUCUUGCUGAUUACUUCAGCUAUCGAACAUCCAGAAAGCGGCAUCCAAACAUGCUAGCACCAUAAGUUCAUAGGUGACACCAAACCAUUUUGCUAUAGUUCGAUUUUGUUAUAACAGAGGCUACACAGAGUAGGGGAAACCUAACGACCACCUGUUCUGGCCAGACCAAACAAAAUUUCUGUUGAAGUUGGGAAAUUUCCAACAACAAAAUUGAUAAAUGUCCUAUGAGGUCAAAUCUAUAACAGGUUAGCAGCCAUUAUUAUGCCACAGCCUUCCACAAGCUCCUUCACAUCAGCAAAACAGAACACAAAAGGAUGGAAAUAGGCACUGCAUGCCAGAUCAAGCCUUUAUCAUGCUAAUUAAUUCAGCCACCACACGCCUAGAAAGCAUUAUCCAAUCAUGUAUUCAUGUUAACAGCAUAAGUUCAUAGGUGAUACCAAACCAUUUUGCGGAGUUCAAUUUUGUUAUAACAGAGGCUACACUGAAAAGGGGAAACCUAACAACUACCUGUUCUGGCCAGACCAAACAAAAUUUCUGUUAAAGUUGGGUCUAGAUAUAUAGAAUAGGGGGUGCAUCAAGCAUCAUAAGUUCAUAUGAGCCCGUUCUGCUAGAGUUUGAUUCUGUCACAACAAAUACUACAGAGAAUAUGGCGAAAUCCAGACAAUUACUUGUUCCCAGUCAGACCAAACAAUUUACUGUUACAUUUCUGCUUUAGUAUAUGACAGCAGAAGGUAAACCUCCUCUGCUCUAAGAAAUGACCAAGCAAAUCAAUCUGAACAUGAACUGGGAGGCAAAUUGAAUGGAGGCACCCGAUACAAAUCAAUUCAAACGAGCAGCCAAAAGUACACCUACGCUCUCAGAAGAAGACCAACCAAAUUAAUCUAAACAUGAACUGGGAAGCAAAAAAUAAAUAAACGGAGGCACCAGGUACAAUAUCAAUUCAAACGAGCAGCCGAAAGCACCUCGCGCAAACCCAACCAGAUCAGCCUCGGCCUAGCGCGAAACCAGAAUCAACACGCCGCAGAGGAACCGCUACAUCAAGCUCGCAAAUCCCUCCAAAUGCGAGCGGCUCGCAAAUCCCUCCAAAUGCGAGCGGCUCGCAACCCCUGGGCGCCACGCCCCGCGCGGUUGCGGCCCCCGAACGGCACCGGAGGAGCAGCGCACCGCAGCGCGGAGAAUCGAACGGGGCACGGGACGCGACAACCGCAGCCUAAUCCAUACCCGAAACAACCAAACAGCGUAUCCGUGGCGUGUGCGGGGAGAAGUUAACCCCCGGCGGAGACGGAACGGGGAGGGGGCGGCGCCGCUGCUGCCGCCCCUACAGAAGGACCAAAUCGAAGCAAAGUGGGGCGGGGAACGAAUACCUUUCCUCCCGCUGCAAGCAACGGGCCGGCAGCGCGAGGUGCUGGCCCUCGGCGGCGGCGACGACGCGGGCUGUUGCCGGAGCAGGGGAGGGAGCCGCGGAAGCUUCCAGGAGGUUCCGGGAGGGAGGGGGCCUCCGUCCCGGGCCGGGUCGGCGGCGAGGCGGCCGAGGGGAGAGGGGGAGGGAAUUCAAAAGAGGGGUUUGCCUUUGGGUUUGGGGAUGGAAAAGGGGCGAGGAAAUCACCGUCAGAAACCGCUACAUAGCGUCCCACGCUCACGGUGGGGCCUACCCGUGUGCUACGCUGAUAGAUGGGCCCAGACGUGGUAUGGUCCCACCUGUCUGCCGGGCUUAGCUUGCUGCUGUCGGCUCGGGUGGGUGGAAGGGGUCGGAGGUGUGCGGCGCCGUUCUGGUCUGCGGGGGUCGGAGGGGUGCCGCGCACGCGUCGGCUCUUGUACCCGUGCGAAGUCGGGUGCGGUGGGCCGCAGUGUCAGUGGGUGGCCUCGGGUGGAUAAGAGCGCGCCGAGGUUAAGUAAAGAAUUGUGCUGUGUUUGGGUGCGAGGGGCAAGGAAUAUGUGCACGCCGGGAGGAGGGGAUGGGAUCCCAGCCCAUCUGACAACCCCCUCUCUCUCUCUCUCUUCGACACGCUUGUCAAGUGUUGCGGCAUCGUUUUGAUUUAACGAUGUGGUAUAUCGUAAAGUUUGAUAAAAAAAAUAUACUCCCCAUCCAUAAUAAGUGUCGCGAUUUUGAACUCAGAUUAGUAGGUGCAUAUACCGUGAUCGCUCCAGCUGCAAAGAGGGAAUAGAUUGUGUGUGGUAUCUCGCAAAAGAAAAUAUACACUACUUAGGGCAUCUCUAACAGAACCACCAUCACACAACUUUUUAAAUGCUCUCUCAAAUUUUAACUCCCCAAAACUGAGAAGUUAAGAUAACGGACAGACUUAACCGAACUUCUAUAUUUAGAGCAUCUCCAAUAGAUGGUCCAAAAUUUGACGGUCCAAAAUUGAAGAUGUAAAAUUUACACCGCCAAAAAGUGCGCUUUGGGGUUCUCAUUGCCUCAAGAUGUUUUUGUUACACUUAGGGCCUGUUCUGAACUUCUCUUGCUUCUCAAAACUUCACAUAUCCAGCUUCUUCUCCUCGCUUCUAACUCCACCUAGCGAUCGCAGGAGCGUUCGGGAGCAUCGACAGCUUCUCCCAGCGCUGCAGCCCAGCUGGGAGGGCUGUGGCCUGUUGGGCCGGCUGGAGGCAGCCAAAUUCGGUCCAACAUGUCAGGUGAGGCGGACUCCGGCGACUCGACGAGGUGAGGAAGAGAGCGCGAAGGGGAGGAGCAGGAAGGGGAAGGGGCGGUGUGGUGCGGGGAGGUGAGCGGCACCGCAGCCGUGGUCAGGCGCCGGAUCCCGCUGUGGUGCCUACGCCCGUGGGCCCGUUUUCGAUGCCUUCCCCGGGCUGCGUCGACGGGAACCGGCGGGGAUUGCCCUGGAACGGCUCGAUCUGUUGCCGGGAAGGAGCGGCGGCCGGCGACGACGCGGCGGCCGGCAACGGCGUGGCGGCGGAUUGGGUCAGCGCCGCUCGAGGGGAACGAGCUGGGGAGAGCUAGCGAUAGGAUUUGGGGGAGGGGAACGAAUCGGUAAGUUUUGCGGUGGCAUACGGCUGUAAUUUGGGCAAACUCCAGUUUCUCUUUUCCGUGGAGCUGGGCCGAGGCAGCUUCGAAUUUUUACACUGCGAUUGGGCUCAGCUUCCCGAAGCGAGCUUCUCGGGGCUUUUCCGUUCGGCUCAGCUCCCGCUCCAGAAUUUUGCAAAGCGUGGAGCGGGAGGACAUCCGAACAGGCCCUUACUGAGCGGAAGGGGGCAUGUGAACCUUUUGGAGAACUUGUUGAGGCUUGGGUACUGAUUGAAGGAAUUCCUCCUAAAUGGUGCACAUGGAAAGUUUUUGCUCAGAUUGCUUCUUUGUUUGGGGUACUGACUGAUGUAGGCUGGAAUGGCAUGUUCAGGACUUUCUUUGAGAAUGUUAGAAUAAAAAUUGCUUGUAGGGACCCCACAAAGAUCCCAUUUGAGAGGCUCAUUGAGAUGAAGAAGAAGUUGUUUUUACUGGGCUUUGCUGCGGAGGGAUUUGAGCAAGUUGGUGGGAUUGACUCUGUUAUUGAUAUUGAGGAUGAUGAAGAAAUAGAAGGAGAAGGUGUCGCUGAGGGACAGGAGGAUGAGGGUGGAAAUGCUUAGAAAGAUGGACUGGAAGACUUACUUGAUAGUGAGGAGGCAAUUGAUGAGCUAGAUAAGGCUAAUAUAGCUAAUCAAAGCAAGAAUAAACAGAAAGGGCCCCAAGCUGACAUGUUCUGUUCUGACUCUGAUCAUGAAACCUUUAUCCUGGAGUGUGUUGCUGCUGAUAAAGAAGAACAUCUUGUAACUGAAAAAGGAACUGAAUCUAAGGAUUUCUGUCCUUCUACUUUGAUGGAAUCCACUCCAUCCAAGCCACUAGUAAGGAUUGCUGAGGGGAUCACCAGUUCUGGAGGGAAGCUUGAAAGCAUGGAGUAUUGUGAGAGUAUACUUAAAUCUGUUGACUUUUCUGAGUCCGAGGAAGAGGAUUCCAAGGGUGAUGAACUUGAAACUCUUCCUCCUGAAGUUGUACAAGCCAUUCAAAACAUAUCUCUGAAAAGAUCUUUGCUGGAAACCCUUGAUCAGGAUCAGGAUCCAAGGGCAAAAGCUGAGAAGACCAAGUGGAGGCCUGUGCUGGUUCAGAAACCUGCUACUAGGGGGCAUGGCAAUUUGAAUAUCAUGGAAAAAGCUGCUGCUUACAAGAGGAAGCAGAAUCUGGAAAUUCCAAAAACUUUCAAAGGUAAAUCAUUCACUAAUACUGAUCAUAACAUUCUGUUUGAAAAAAUGAGUAAAAUUGAUUUAUGCAUUGGGGGGAUGAGGGGAUGAAUAGUGUAUCCAUAGCGUGUGCGGGGAGAAGUUAACCCCCGGCGGAGACGGAACGGGGAGGGGGCGGCGCCGCUACUGCCGCCCCUACAGAAGGACCAAAUCCAAGCAAAGUGGGGCGGGGAACGAAUACCUUUCCUCCCGAUGCAAGCAACGGGUCGAAGCGCGCGAGGUGGUGGCCCUCGGCGGCGGCGGCGACGCGGGACCUCAUCGGAGCAGGGGAGGGAGCCGCGGAAGCUUCCAGAAGGUUCCGGGAGGGAGGAGGGGGCCUCCGUCCCGGGCCGGGUCGGCGACGAGGCGGCCGAGAGGAGAGGGGAAGGGAAUUCAAAAGAGGGCUUUGCCUUUGGGUUUGGGGAUAGAAAAGGGACGAGGAAAUCACCGUGAGAAACCGCUACAUAGUGUCCCAAGCUCACGGUGGGGCCUACCCGUGUGCCACGCUGAUGGAUGGGCCCGGACCUGGGAUGGUCCCACCUGUCUGCUGGGUUUAGUUUGCUGCUGUCAGCUCGGGUGGAUGGAAGGGGUCGGAGGUAUGCGGCGCUGUUCUGGUCUGCGGGGGUCGGAGGGGUGCCGCGCACGCGUCGGCUCUUGUACCCGUGCGAAGUCGGGCUAGCUCGGGUGCGGUGGGCCGCAGUGUCAGUGGGUGUCCUCGGGUGGAUAAGAGCGCGCCGAGGUUAAGUAAAGAAUUGUGCUGUGUUUGGGUGCGAGGGGCAAGGAAUAUGUGCACGCCGGGAGGAGGGGAUGGGAUCCCGGCCCGUUUGACACCCCCCCCCCUCUCUCCCUUCGACACGACUUGUCAAGUGCUGCAGCAUCGUUUUAACUUUCCGAUGUACUACUAGUACCAUCGUAAAGUUUGAUAUAAAUGAAAAAAUGUACUCCCUUCCUCAAAUUUAAUACAAAGUUGACACUUGUUUUGAAACGGAGGAAGUAUACGAAGUAUUUUUACACUUGUUUUGAAAAGGACAUAGAUUAGCACGCGAAAUUUCUGCUCCCAGGCUCAUCUGCACCUGCGCUCAUAAAAAAAUCAAAGAAAAACUAGAAAAAUCCUUUUUUGUGUGUGUGGCUCAUCUGCACCUGCGCAUGGCCCCUCCUGAUUUGUCUUUUUUGUCGAGAGCUGUUCAGAUGUCCAAAUGAGUUAAAAUUUGGAGCUGACAUCACGCAUCAAAUUAUCUACCAGACAAAAAAUGUAUAUUUUUUUGAAUUUUUUUAGUAUUUGUUUUGAUUUUUUCUGAGCGGGAGCAUAUGAGCCUGGGCACCGAGUUGGAUUUUCACAUAGAUUAUGUACAUUGUGCAAUAGUACCUCGCAAAAGAAAAUAUAAAUUUCCUAGGGCAUUUCUAACUGAAACACCACUAUAUGACUUUUCAAAUGCUCCCUCAAAUCUUAACUCCUCAAACGGCAAGCUGGAGGACACGGGUUUUUCGGGCAAUACUUCCUCAACUUGGACUGCAAUCAGUCACGGCCUAGAUUUGCUCAAGAAAGGUUUAAUAUGGAUAGUUGGGAACGGAAGGAGUAUUCGUAUAUGGAGGGACGCUUGGAUCCCUAGGCCCUUUUCAUAUAGGCCAAUCUCAGUUCAGGGUACAUGCAGGUACCGUUUUGUGUCACAGCUUCUACGCGACAAUGGAUCAUGGAAUUACAAUCUGCUCCAGGAAGCCUUCCUACCAUGUGAUGUGCAGGAGAUUCUGAAAAUAAGAGCAUCGCCGCGGCUAGGCGAGGACGUGCUUGCAUGGGGGCCGGCUGGAAAUGGUGUUUUUUCAGUCGAAUCAGCAUAUACCUUAGCCUUUGAAGAGACAUACAUAUCUACUGCGGAAUCUUCAAGCUCAGCCCCGAAUGGACAUCAGACCUGUUGGAAAGUUAUUUGGAAAAGUUUUGUACCUCUAGCAGUACAGCAGUGAACUCUCUCCCAACUUGGCAAAACAAGAAUAAACGUAACUUAGAAACUUCGGGAAUCUGCCCAAUCUGCGAGCGGGAAGAGGAAGAUACUUUUCAUGCAUUAUGUAAAUGCCCUUUUGUGGUGCAAUGUGGGAAUGCAUGUCAACUGUUUGGCGUUUGCCACAGCUGGAGGAAAUGAAAAAUACGGGUACUGAAUGGUAUUGGAGGCGCUCCAUCCACUCCCUGAGAUUGAUAGUGGUAUGCUAAUGAUGACACUGUGGCGGGUAUGGCAUAACCAUAAUGAAGUGACUCAUAAAAAAGGAUCCAUUGUUGAUGGAAGUGUCCAAGCGUUUCCUGAUGAGCUACAUGGACUCGCUCUUAUCACUGAAAUACUCUGAUUAGGAUAUGUUUAAGGGACAGCAAGUGGUCUCUUAUGAUCAUCUAUAUAAACCACUUGUGAUAUUAUCUACACCUCGGCACAUUCCAUGGGUGUUGCCAAUGGAGGGCUGGACCAAACUCAACACAGAUGGUUCUUGGUCAGUUGAUGGAAGUGCGGGAGCUGGUAUGGUACUCCGGAAUAAUAUGGGUUAGACCAUUUACACAUCAUGCAUAGAGCAUUUCUCGUGCAGACACGCUUUGGAAGCGGAGCUUAGUGCAUGUACGGAGGGGCUUUUACUUGCCAUUCAGAGAACGGAGUUUCCUAUCCAUGUGGAGAUGGAUUCCCGACAAGCUGUGAGCAUGAUCGUUGAUGAGUUAACUGAUAGAUCGAUCUUCUCUUCACUGGUGAAGGAAAUCAAGCAUCUGAGGAACCUCCGUAGAACUACAUUUAGUCUUGUUCAUUGUAUUCAGAAUAGUGUUAGCAAUUUUUUGGCUAAGUUUGCUAGAACUCAGAGUAGAACUGUUGUUUGGCUUAACUCUGUCUUGUCAGAAGUUAUUGAGCUUUGUAAUGCAGAUCAUGGCAUUUAUCCCACUUGAGUAAUACAAAGUUCACCCGCAAAAAAAUCUUAACUCCUAAAAAAUGAGGAGUUAAGAUAGCGGUGGGACUUAACCGAACUCCUAUAUAUAACUCCUUAUAAAAAAGAUAUUUGCUAUUUAGCUAUCUUAAUGCCACAUGUUCUAGAUCCAAACGGCUGUGAUUAUUCUACUGUAUGCCCGUCGUUGAUGGAGAGAGUGUGGGGAUGAGCAGAGGUCGGAUCCCGUCGUGGCUCAGUGGAUGUAGGAUGAGGCAGUGGUGGCUUGCACCAUCAGCCAUGGACCUGGGCAUGCUGCCGCCGAGGCAUUCCAACUGUCUAUGGGAAGGGGGGAGGUCGUGGUGCUCCACGGGUGGAUGGCCAAACGCAGUGGGGUGAGUCCCACCUGGAUUGGCCAGAGUCGGAGGGACGCUCAGCGCCUUGACGUUGCCCGAACCGGAGUCGCCACCACCUCGCGUGGGUGCGAAAGGGGCGAUGCGCAGGUCGUCUAGCCACGAAUCCAUGCUUGAGUUUUUUUGUUAGAAAUCUCAUUGACUUACCUAAUAAAAUCGUGUUGCAUUGGUGAGCCAAUAAGUACUGAUCCAUUUAACAGUAAUAUCUGUUUAUAGUUAACAAUAAAAUUGUAGGUAAAUCAUGGUCAUUGCAUACAUUUAUGUGUGCCUUCGUUACAAUUCACAUGCAAUUAUCUAAUGGACUGAAAUUAAGGUCUAUGGCUUUUAAAAUAAUUUUUUAUUUCUUGUUGGGUUGAGAGUCAACAACCGGAAUCCAACACUUAAUUAUUUGUUGAUGCAAGUUUUAAUUUUGUGUUGCACCUGUUCGUGAGAAUGAGUCUUAGUACUGGAUGAUAACAUCACGUGGCCCUUGCUCUGUUUUCUUUGAACCAAUCUAGACAUGGAAGCCAUUUGUCAACCAAUGAUUUUUCUUUUUCCUAUUCAUAUGUGAAAUUUGUGUGCUAUUUUCUUGUUCUUAUGUCUAGCUAAAUCUAUACCUAAUAAUAAAGGGGCUAUUGCUGCGGCACGUCAUCGAAAUUGCCCCCAAAGUUGCAAAAUAUUACGCACUGAUGCCAUCUAUAUAAGGGAUAAAAAUGUUUCACACAAGGGAAUCCCCGCCUGGGCCGGCCCAUGCGGUAGGAACCUACUAUACUGCACUCUGUUUGUGCCGGCCCAAGUCGGGGCGGCAUAUUUUUUUAAAUUUUGUUUUCUAUUUUUUGUUUUUGUUUGCCAUCUUCAUUUUUCUACUUUAAAUAAUUUUGGAUUUUAAAAAAUUACAAAAUUAAAAAAAUGAGAAUUUUGAAAUAAAAUGUUUGAUAAUUCAUAAAUGUUUGUGCAAUUAUAAAAUGUUCCCGAUUUAAAAAAAUAUGUUUGCAUAUUCAAAAAGUGUUCGUAAAAAACAAAAUAAAUGUUUGGGGAAUAAAAAAUGUUCAUGAUUUUUUUUGAAAGUUUGUGUAUUAAAAAGCAUUGAUGAAAUUGAACAAAAUUUUGCCAAUUCAAAAAAUGUUCAUGAAUUGAAAAAUAUCAUAAAUUUUUGAAAACUGUUCAUGACUUACAAAAUAGUUUAUUGAUUCAUAAAAUGUUUGUGGAUAAAAAAAUGUUCAUUAAAUGAAAAAAAUUGUCCCACCAAUUCCAAAAACAUGUUCGUAGAUGCUAGAAAUAUUAUCCUAUUCAAAAAAAUGUUUUAAAAAGUAUUUUCAAAUAGUAUUAAAUGUUCAUGAAUUCAAAUUUUUACAUGAUUUUAGAAAAUGUUUAAAAAAAUGUAAAAAUCUUCCCGAUUUCAGAUAUGCUCAUGAGUUUAAAAUAUUGUUCAUGAGUUUCAAAAAUUGUUCACGCUUUCAUGAAAAUGGGAGUAUACUGUAUCUUGGUGAUGUAGCAAUAUGUGGUCAUGGCCAUUCAAGAUUAUGAUUUUUUUUCCCGUUGCAUCGCACGGCUGUUUUUGUAGUGUUUUACUUAUAUAUAGUAGAUAUACUUGUGAAAACCAUACAUAAAUAUUGCAUAUCUAUAUAAUUUAUAAUUUCAUAUAAUCCACACGGCAAUACAAAAAUCAAUUUUCAUAUAUAUCCCAAUCACAUUUAUUUCAGGGAGCAUGUCCUUGUACAUCAUCAGCUAGAUCCGUAUGUUUGUUGGAGGGGUGUACUUUGCUUAUUAGCGUAUAUGCAUAUUGUGCACUCACACCCAAAAGGAACACACUUGGCACUGGCGUUGCACGCGCAGUUUGGAGGGCAGUGAAACUUCAAGAGCUCUUGGCCCACUUGAUUCUGGCAUUCACUUAUAUCACAAUCAUGACCACCCGGCUGUGGGAUGAGUUUUCUCUUGCAAUCUUUAUACGCUGUCGCACCUACUCCCUCCGUUCCUAAAUACUUGUCUUUCUAGAGAUUUCAACAAGUGACUACAUACGGCGCAAAAUGAGUGAAUCUACACUUUAAAAUAUGUCUACACACAUCCGUAUGUUGAGUCCAUUUAAAAUGCCUAGAAAGACAAGUACUCCCUCCGUUCCUAAAUAUUUGUCUUUUUAGAGUUUUAAAUGGACUACCACAUACGGAUGUAUAUAGACACAUUUUAGAGCGUAGAUUCACUCAUUUUGCUCCGUAUGUAGUCACUUGUUGAAAUCUCUAGAAAGACAAAUAUUUAGGAACGGAGAGAGUAUUUGGGAACGGAGGGAGUACAAGAUAUCGGCAUGAAAAGAACAUGGGUCACACAUCAUGGCCAUAAUUUGAUAAAUGAGUUUGUGUGAUAUGCAUUAUAGAGAAGAAAAUGGGCACCAUAUGUUAACAGAAGGAAGGCGAGGACCAGGAGUUGAGUCACAGUACCGGUUCUCCUCAUUUUUGCCGUCUUAUGGCGUUGAUAUCUACUGUUGUUGAUGGCUACGAAACUUUAGAGCUGUUUAGGAGAACAAAUAAGAUGGCAAUCUUUUUAUAGAGGGCUUCAUAUCAAUACCAUUACCAUUAUUUGGAAAGACAUUUACUAUUGGAUAUUGUAUACCAAAAAAAUAAUUAUGGAGUAUCAAAUAAGUAAUACUAAUACCAUUAUUGGAAAGAAAUUUAUUAUUGGAUAUUGUAUACCAAAAAAAUAAUUAUGGAGUAUCAAAUAAGUAAUACUACUACCAUUAUUUGAAAACACAAUAUUAUUGGAUACCAAUACCAUUAACAUUAUUUGAAAAACACAAUAUUAUUGGAUAUCAAUACCAUUAACAUUAUUUUGAAACACAUUAUUAUUGGAUAUCAAUACCAUUACCAUUAUUUUGAAACACAUUAUUAUCGCCCAAUGCGCUUGCCAAGAAAAACUUACACCACACACCCACAACUACCGAGCCCGUUGGUGAUCGAGCCUGCCACUGUUACUCUAUGCAAGCAGCAGAACAACACGAUGCAGCGAAAGAACUCUAGCAGCGGAACAACGAUGACGGUGGUGAACUCCACUCCGCAGGGACUCUGGCUAGAACGCUUAUCCCAGCUCGCACGAACAGAAACCACGACAAGCAAGCAAUCAAAUCCGGAAUGACCUGCAAGCUGGCAUGACACGCCAGGUCAGUACAUUGAAUGUACUUGCAAGCUCACAAUAACCAGAAGCAUUCAAGACAGACAACAACAUGGCAAUUACAGGUUAAACAGGAAUUAUCAUGAUAUCAUCAAAACAAUAUAGCAUGAACAAGAUGAACAUGAUACGGCUAACAGAACAUGAACAUGGAAUGAACAUAUUAAUCCGACAAUACUAGCAUGCAACAUGAUGACACUAUCAUGCACUACUUAUUCUGCUCGGGUUACCUCGUAACCAACACAUGCAUCACUUACCAACCUCGGACAUCACACGAUCAUCUCAGGAUCAAAUCAAGCUUGGUAUAAACAAUACCGUAGUAAUCAUUAAAUGGCCACAAGGAGCUUGAUCUUUACCCACGAUUCUCGCACAACAUCACGAAUAUCCAACGACUCGGUAUCCUCAAUACCACCAUGAUCCUUACGGUGAUCACAACCACGACCAACACUUGGUCUCAAACCAUGAUCCUUACGACGAUCACAACCACGACCAACACUUGGCCCCAAACCGUGAUCCUUACGGCGAUCACAACCACGAGUUGUCAUUAAUCAAGUUAUUCUUAUUACUGUUGACUCAUGGUGUACCCUACUUUCGAACUGGGCCCUUAUCCGUGGGCGCGGCUAUCGAUAGAUUUAACAUACACUCUGCAGAGGUUAGUACACUGUACCCACACUACGGAACCCAUGGCCUCGCACUCCCAUUCGGGUGGACCAACGGCGUUCCGACAAAACCGUUCUAUUGCCAUGACACUCUCCCGGCCACUCCGACUCACUCCCCACUGGGCUAAGUCAUGGGUGGCCCCGUGUCUACCUCAAGAUACCUCAAUCCACCGCCGUGGCCCAAAACAAUAAACCGUCCCAAACGGGGACAUGUGCACAUAACAACAACAAUGGGAACACAAGUCUUAUGUCCGCCUACCUGAUCAAGGUAUCGCGCGCCCAUAACCUUCCCUCGUUAGAGGCACCGGCGAGAGGCGCGACAAUAGACCCAGUUAGGACCGUCCCAUACCGGUAAGCGUGGUUGCACUGGUCAGCAUCAUUUCAAUGGCACCAUGACUCAACCAACAGUUAUUCAAGUUCAAUUUAAUCCGGUUAACUUGAAUGCAAAUAUGCUGAGCCAUGAUAAAAUGCAUGAACAUGAUAUCAACAUAAUCAUGAGGGUAUCACAUAACUACCCACCAUAUCAACAAUAAUUCAUAUCCACUGAGCAUGGCAUACUGACUAGCAUGACCAUCACCAACAUCAACAUGUACUACUAGCAAGCAUAAACAUAUGAAAGGAAAUACUAGCAGGUAGAACAUGAUAACAUAGUACAAGACAACCUAGCACAAAAGUGAACAUGCAAAUCUAAACAUCACCGGAACAACGAUAACCAUCUUUUCAACAAGCAAAUAUUUAAUAAAGAUUCAAGUUGAAAACCGUGGCUACUGCAUGACUAUUAUGCAAGUGGGUAUUGUGGUUUCCUGGGGUGGAAGAAAUCACUGGGAGAAGCGCGAGAAAAUCGCGGAACGAAUCGCCGGAAAACAUACUCUCUUGGAGGGGGCCGAAUAAGGGCAAGGGCAUAAUGGUCAUUUUCACAGUGUCAAACCAUAGUGAAUGGAUGGCCAACAGAACGGGCUCGACGAAACAAAGAAGUAGGCUUUGGAAUCACCUCAUUUGGAGUUACGGAUAAAAAGAUACGGACAUUUAAAACUCAGGGACUAAUCUGUAAAAAUACUUCUACAAACAGGUCCCUGGCAGUUUUAAACCGAACGCGUCUUUCUGAGAAUAUGCCUUCAAAUCAGGAAAACGGCUUCGCGCCGGGGCUCCUCCACUUAUCCACGUGGCGCUGACCAGUCAAAGAGGCAGCAGCGGGGCCGGGCGCCUGGGUCGCUGCCAGGUGGGGUCACGGGGCCCGCCUGGCCAGGUCAACGCCCCACAUGGCAGGCUCCUUCUCCAGCUGGAUGCGCGCCGGGCCGAGGGGAGGCGACCGCCCCGACGGCGCUCGCAGGUGUGUCCGGCCACGGCAGGCGACGGGCGACCUACCCACGAGAUCGGGAGGAGGAGGCGCACCCCGGGGUAGUAUCCGUUGCCGGCGACGAGCACUGGAGAGGGAGCAGCAGGGGCCGCUGCGGAGAGGAGCUUCGGCCUCGGGAAAACUAGGGCUCCNNNNNNNNNNNNNNNNNNNNNNNNNNNNNNNNNNNNNNNNNNNNNNNNNNNNNNNNNNNNNNNNNNNNNNNNNNNNNNNNNNNNNNNNNNNNNNNNNNNNNNNNNNNNNNNNNNNNNNNNNNNNNNNNNNNNNNNNNNNNNNNNNNNNNNNNNNNNNNNNNNNNNNNNNNNNNNNNNNNNNNNNNNNNNNNNNNNNNNNNNNNNNNNNNNNNNNNNNNNNNNNNNNNNNNNNNNNNNNNNNNNNNNNNNNNNNNNNNNNNNNNNNNNNNNNNNNNNNNNNNNNNNNNNNNNNNNNNNNNNNNNNNNNNNNNNNNNNNNNNNNNNNNNNNNNNNNNNNNNNNNNNNNNNNNNNNNNNNNNNNNNNNNNNNNNNNNNNNNNNNNNNNNNNNNNNNNNNNNNNNNNNNNNNNNNNNNNNNNNNNNNNNNNNNNNNNNNNNNNNNNNNNNNNNNNNNNNNNNNNNNNNNNNNNNNNNNNNNNNNNNNNNNNNNNNNNNNNNNNNNNNNNNNNNNNNNNNNNNNNNNNNNNNNNNNNNNNNNNNNNNNNNNNNNNNNNNNNNNNNNNNNNNNNNNNNNNNNNNNNNNNNNNNNNNNNNNNNNNNNNNNNNNNNNNNNNNNNNNNNNNNNNNNNNNNNNNNNNNNNNNNNNNNNNNNNNNNNNNNNNNNNNNNNNNNNNNNNNNNNNNNNNNNNNNNNNNNNNNNNNNNNNNNNNNNNNNNNNNNNNNNNNGAGGAAGAAGACGAGCUCACGGGCGCGCACUGCUCGACCCUUGGCACGGCUCAUCGGAGAAGAAAAUGGAGGGGGGGGGGGGCGGGGUCCAGGCGAACGGCGACAAUGAUGCAGAGCUACUAGACAUGCGGGGACGAGCCAAAUCCAGCUGGAGCAACGAUGCCGAGGCCAACAGUGGCUAGACCACCGUUUUGGCUGGCUGCCCUCGUGGUCACCACUGGCAUGGUGCACUCUGGAGGUUUUACUGAGGCCAGAUUAUGUCUACCACGUAGUCCUUCAAAGAUAGAUUGUUACUACGGUAAAGGUUUGGGCAGAGACAAAUGGAGCUGAGUAAACCAUGCUCCACAAGUUUGCUGUUGCAAACUUGGCAACAUCCUAGAGGUAAAACCAAAGAGUUUGAAUGGUAAAUUUGAUGUCUGGGAGGCUUAGGGUAGAAAGGACUACAGUCCUGGGGGGUUUGAGGGUAAAUGGAUCAAGAUUUACUGCAGUUGCUUCACAACUGACCAAAAUGGUCCAGAAACUAGAUCAUGAUGAUGCUCUCACAUGGAGUUAUGAAAUGAGAUGCAGCUUGGCAAAUACUCAUGAUAUGGACAUAUAAAGAUUCUGUAAAAAGCUCAUGCCAAAUGGACAAGCCAAAAUGGCACUUGCUUCACAAACAUCAUUUCUGUCCAGAAACUUGGAAUAAUUAUGGUGAUCAAAUGGAUCAAUUAAAUGAUGCAAAAAUGGGUGGAGAGAUGUUUCAUGGGUAUAAGAAUGAUCUGGUAAUUUAUCAGGAUUUUUGAAGCAAUACAAAAUGCACUCGCUUCACAACCUGAAAAUAUUGCCAUAAUCAAAGAUUUGCUCCUAUGCUCACAUAGAUGAUUUUAUGGGACUGCAAAUUGGUGGAGGGGGUUAAUAUGAGCACAUUAAAGAGUGUGCAAAAUUUCAACUCAUUUGGGUACUCUUAGCUAGUACUUCCUUCACAAAGCCUUCUGUUUGACAGAAACUUUGAAAAAUCACUGAGGAAGAUUGACUAGGAAAAUAAAGUUUAACUUGUGCAUGAGGCAAUUAUUCGGACAUAUAAACAUUCCCAAAAAGGAUGGGAGCCACUAGGAAAAAUAUAAAUGACACUUCCUUCACAAAGGGCCAUUCAGGGCAGAAUAGAAAAAGGAAUAUUGGGGAAUUACUUUUGAACAUGGCAAUGAAUAGUUUUGCCAUAUUUGAUCAAGAUAUGACCCAAACAAUUUAUGAGAAUUAUUUGGGAAUUUUUGGAGUGAUGGAAAUAUAGGUUGCUUCACAACCUAGGGCAAUUUGAGUUAUUCCUUUAAUAGAAAAGGAAUAUUCCCAAUAAAAAGAAUAUUGGGAUUUGGGCUAGGAUGAAAAUGACAGGGUCUAGGAGAGGAUUUAGUAAUGACAAGCCACUCUGGAAGCAAAGAAGAGGUCAUCUUCUUCAGUUUCCAGACCACAAAGCCACGAAAAAAAAGAAAACUCAGGCAAAAACCUCGGAAAAACAAAAGGAAAAGAAAGGGCCAAAAAUCAGGCUGUCAUAGUAGUGUCAAAAACCGUCUUACAUUAUGGGACGGAGGGAGUACUACACAAAGUUACCUAUCUCUCACUUUCUCUCCUUUCGUAAAUAGACUAAACCAAGCUUUGUUUGGUGAAAUACAUGACCAAUCGCACGAGGGACAAGACGGGAGGUUGGGCAGUUCUGCACCACCCCGGUCGCCACAGCUCAGCCCCGCGUCAAUCAAAGUGACCAAAGAUCUAAGUGCAGUGAACAAGUUAUAAAUUUUUCUCUUGAGAGUAGAAAAUGAAACCACUGGAAACAAAACGCUUGACUACCAUGAAUCAAGUUUCUAGUAGUGAACUAUUUUGCAAAAAAACAACUACGUUUGCUACCAUAGUAUAAACAAAAAUUUGGCUUCGGAACAAAAACUGCAAGUUGGUGAACAAUAUACUUAACUAUCAUGAACAGAAAAAAAUAUGUGAAUGUGAAUACAUUUUUUAAGUAGAGUGGACAAAUUUCAACAUGAAAAGAAAAGGAAAUAAAACUAUAAAGAACGGGAGGUUGGACUGUGGCGGACAAUUUUUUUCUUACUGCAAUGAACCAACAUUUUAAGUGUAAUGGAUACAUUCUUUAAGUAGACCGAACCAAAAUUUUGACUUCAACACCAAAAUUUAAAUCAUGAUGAACAAAAACUAUAACCGCACUAUGAACAAUAAAUUUUGGACGCCGAUGCCGCACGACUUGUUCGGUACGAGGGGAUUGAUCCCCCCGCAUGAAUUCAUUCGGCAGGGGGAAUCCAUAGCCCACAGGCCUCCAUCACACCAGACCCUUUCCCUGUGAAAAAAAGGAACAUAAAACCCGCUGACGGCGAAUUAAAUGAAAAGACCCAGAUUAUUUUUCCGUGACAAAUAGAAGCCCAGAUUUUGCUCGGCUACUAAAAAAUGCCAUCAUCUUUAAAAAGCAUCAAAAUGAAAAAAAAAAUCCAAAAAUGCCAUUCAAGAUUGACCAAACUAUUUGCCAUUAUAUUCUUUUUUUACAAUGGCAAGGUUUGUAAACACAUAUUUGAUUCCCCAAUAAAGCAUGGCAAAUCUGCCAUGACAAAAAAAAAAU
Molecule: long non-coding RNA, 45384 nt
Filed under: Triticum aestivum (bread wheat)
Lineage: Eukaryota; Viridiplantae; Streptophyta; Magnoliopsida; Poales; Poaceae
Description: long non-coding RNA (TAES_LNC011315)
Rfam family: MIR1120/MIR1122 microRNA precursor family (bases 27283-27417)
Source: RNAcentral